This 57816-nucleotide long non-coding RNA is filed under the name Hordeum vulgare. RNAcentral describes it as "long non-coding RNA (HVUL_LNC014176)". Lineage: Eukaryota; Viridiplantae; Streptophyta; Magnoliopsida; Poales; Poaceae. The record is from RNAcentral.
CCUUAUAUGUAGCUUCCAACUUGUAAAACAAGUUGACUCAUUCGAAGUACAUAGCAAAAAAAUGCAGCGAAGUUCAUUACAAGAUAAGAAGUUAAAUAAGUAAGCACAUGCCCAAAUCAGUCUCGUUUAAUUGUGUAGCACUAAAGUAUUGGACUUUGUUGGGGCCAGUUGACAAUUCAAACUGUUUAAGCCUGCAUCUCAUUUAAUUCAAACUUCAUCUCAAUUUGUCUCAGAUAAGUACAUAUUUGUCUCAGGUAAUUACCUUUGGAAACAAUAAACCUGGUCCGCUUUGGGAGUUUAUCAUGAGAACCUCAACGGCUUUCUUCUGUUCAUCACCAGAAGUUUCAUCAACUCUAUACCUGAAUGGUAUGCACCUGGAAACAAUGAACUUGUUCAGACAAAUACAUGAAGUAUCCACUGUGCAAAAGCAGCAAAAUGUGAAUGUUAGGCCCCACAGUUUACAAGGAUUUUUAUCAAAUCCUGCCCAAAGAGGAACAAUGUCUUAUCACAGGAAUCACCAAUAUUAAUAUGAUUGAAAUGUGCAGCUAUGUUUUAAGGCGAAAAUUAUGCAACAGUUAAGCUACCACACAGCUGUACAUAUAUAAGUACAAGAUGCUAUUUGAGCUACAUGGACAGUAGAAGUUCAGCCAUAUUCAUGGAAUGGUGCUUUCUGGCAAAAUUUGUCAAACUAACAAACAUUGUAGAUGCAGUUUGCUGACCUACAUCUUAGUCAUCAGAAAUAUACAUACUGUAUGUAUGAAUAAAAGGGAGAAUUUAAGUCUUAAAAGUCAAUGGUCGGAAUGUCUAAGCGCAAUCUACAACAAAAUCGUAUAGCUGAAAAUGAUUAGCAUUUCUGCUUUGUCUUAAAGUCUCUUCCACAUAUACUAUGUAAUGAACUUAUGCAACAGUUAAACUAAUAUAAGAGCAUUCAGAACACUAUUUUAGUAAUCCAAAUGCUCUUAUAUUAGUUUACAGAGGGAGUACUAUGUAAUGAACUUUGGUGUGUUUUGAUUUCCGUCACUAUAGCCUACAAGGAGGGCCUUUUUCUAGAUAAGUUUACAAUUUCAUAUGUCAUACCAUAAAACUUCAUACUUCAGAUGUCACUUGUUGUUACGGUUCCUUCAAAACAUCACAUAAUGAGCAGAAAGGCAUGUGGACCAGAAAACUGCAGGUAAAGUCAUCAAAACUUGCCACUGGUGACAUCAGAAGUCUACCCUAGCUUACAAAAUCAAAACUGAACCAGGAGCAAACCCAAAGAGGGACACCUAUCAGGGCCAAACACCUGGAUUAUGAAGAUUAGUUCGUGUGUUGUAACCUUUGACACAGGUAAAAUGCAUAUGCAAGUGAAACAAACAAAUAUUUGUCGCUCUCAUCAGAUACUAAUUCUAUUAAGAUAUCAUGCUUAGGAGAAAAAAGAACAGAGUUGACACAAACAGCGAACCAGCCCCGGAUGACAGGCCGCAUCACCACCACAAGCAGCAAACCAGCCCCGGAUGGGGCAGGCCGCACCAUCACGGCACAGACUCUAGCGACCCAAAACGUCCAUAGACCUCAAACCAAGGGCAGCAUCUCAUACGGGGAGAGGAAUCUAGGUCAGGAGGGCAAUGGACGCACCCAUCUAAUCUCGGAUACAGAAAACUGGUAGCAUCAGGAUUCGGGAGGAGCAACAAUCAGGGGAAGGCGGACCCAAUCCAUACCCGGCGACGAGCCGCCGCCCGUCCUCGUAGCGUUGCUGGUGGCGACCCGUGCGGGCCACGAGGUCGCACAUGCUACCCCGCCGCGCUCGAUCUCCUCCUCCUUGUCCGCCGCCGCCGCCGCCCGCCCNNNNNNNNNNNNNNNNNNNNNNNNNNNNNNNNNNNNNNNNNNNNNNNNNNNNNNNNNNNNNNNNNNNNNNNNNNNNNNNNNNNNNNNNNNNNNNNNNNNNNNNNNNNNNNNNNNNNNNNNNNNNNNNNNNNNNNNNNNNNNNNNNNNNNNNNNNNNNNNNNNNNNNNNNNUUUACUGUGGCUGGCUGGCGUGGUGGUCGCUUCCUUCUUUUUCUGGGCCGCUCGGAGGAGAGCCGUCUCGGCUUUGGUUUUUGGGUUGGGCGCACGCAGCUGAGAUUGUUUUGGGUUUCUUCUCCUUUUUUCUUUUUCUUUUCUUUUCCAAAAGGGAAAGCUUUUGCCUUUUAGUUUUGUAUUAUCCGGGGUUGGCUGCAUUAUUUGGGGGUUUUGUAUUGUUAUAUGCCUGACCUUGUACCUUUUUUUUUUGCUUUUGUCUUAGUCUUGGUGUUCAUCCUAGGGGGCGGCGAGGAAAGAAGUUGGAAAGUUCUUGCUUAUACGGUGGUCGACGUCCCACGUGUCGAUCGGGGUGUAACUUGUCUUGCAUGUUUUGUUUUGGCCGGCAUUGAAUGGCGUAUGGUCGUAAGGGUGCUUUUUUGUUUGUCGUCGAUCACAGGGCACACGAAUAAAUUAGCGGUUUACCUCUUGUUUUGUUUGUUUUAGUGAAAGAGGUUUACCUUUUGUUGUUAUGCAAAUAGGACCGAACGUGGUUUUUGUUUGUUCCCUUAUGCUAUCCCUUGAUAAUGAAACCGACCCCAUGUUGGAUCAAAUGGAAAGAAAACAAAGGUCGGACGCACAUGGUCUAAGCUUCGAAAGGUUGGGUAGGUAGUGGUGGAGUUGGGUUUAUCUACGGAGUGCACAAAGUUCAUAUUUUAUGAAUUUUCUGAGUAUUUAUCAACUUCUACAUAGUUAUCUAUUUAGUUUAUACUUUCUUAACAAAUUAAUGGGCACACAUCCUUUCGUGAAAAAUUAACGGGCACAAAUUAUUUGAUUUUUUUUGUCUAACCUUGUGUUUUUUGGCUUUAGUCUUCGAAUCUUGGUCUUGGCGCUCAUCCUCUCGCGGUGGCGACGAAAGAAGUUGGAAAGAUCUACUUAUACGGUUGAUGGAGGCAUGUGUUGAUCGGACUGUUACUUGUCUUGCAUGUUUGGUUUUGGCUGGCAUGAAUGGGCCACAUUUGUAUGGGUUUUCUAUUUGCCGUCAAUGACAGGGUACGAGUGAAUUAGGGGUUUACCUUUUGUUGUAUGCUCGUACGCUAGUGUAGAAUCAGGCAAUAGUCCCGGUUCGUAACUAUCUUUAGUGUCGGUUCUGCAACCGGCACUAAAGGGUGGGGACUAAAGCCCCCCCCCUAGUGUCGGUUCGUCAUGAAUCGGAACCAAAUGCUCACCACGUGGCACGAGCCCGCUCGGGGGGCUGGGGGCCUUUAGCCCCGGUUAGUUACACCAACCAGGACUAAAAGGUUUAGGAUUUUUGGGUUUAUGGAUUGUUUUUCCUUUUUAUUUUAUGUUUUCCAUAUUUUUUAUUUCAAACAUAUUUUACGCUACUACAUAUUGUACACGUUAUGCAUAUAUAAAAAUAGAAUUUCUGGUAGAACCGAUCAUAUAUAUAUCAUCAAAUUUCUCGCACGACCAUUCACACAUACACACACACAUAUAUACAAUUUGCAGAUCAUUACAUGAAGGCAUUACAACUUGUAAUGUAUUCUUCCUUGGGAUCUAUGACGUAGUCGAGCAAAAAUCCCGCUAUUUCGUCUUGAAUUGCUCCUACGCAAUCCGUUGGUAGGAGCUGAUCCCACCUAUUUUGCAUCUUUAUUAAAAAAGAAGAUCAGUAUGAAUAUAUUAGUUGUGUGUACAUAUAUUAGAUCAUGAUAAAAAAAUGUAAAUAGUAUUCUGGCAAACGUACCCAGAGUUGUUUAUCAUUUUUGGACCUUUCGGACGUCAUCAUGCGAAUGUUCUCGCAAACGUAGUAUGCACACAAAUUAUUCCCCGGCGCCUGCCUCAGGCAGUUUACGAGAAUAGAAUUCAAUCAGAUAAUAAUUAAUCAAGCAUGAUAAUGAUAUUGAAACUAUAAUUAAAGAGAUGGUAGCUAGCUAGUACUAUUUAAUUAAUUACCCUGGGUUGCGUUCAUUUCAGUUUUGGUUUCCAUGGGCCUUCAACCUGUUUAAUAAACUUUUCCCAAGCCCCGUCCGCCGACAAAGAAAAUGAUAAAGGAGUUAUUAAUUAGUUGAUAUGAGGAAAUGAACUAAAGAGGCCGACAUAUAGUUCGAUAAUGAUUGAAAUUACCUGUCGACCCCCCCCCCCUCACGAUUGCGUAGUCUCUUUCAUCUUUAAGUAGUGAGUCCAGUACUAGAACUUUUCCCUCGUCAACUUCAAUAAUUAGCAGGAUCCAGUAAAAACUACAUGCGAACAUGUUUGUAUAAUUAAGCGGGCAUAUGCAUAUAUAACUCAUCAACUACACUUAUUAAAAUCUAGUAAGCAAAAACAGAAUUUGUAUUACAAGACAGUGCCACUCAUCCGAAGUUGUAAGGAAGUAGUAUUUCUGGUUAGAUAUUUAGUUGCACCAAGAACUCUACCAAGCUUAUCUCCGUGUCUUUUCGUUCCCAUUUACACGUCCAUGUCUCUUCAUUAAUGGUAUUUGGAUCGAUGAACCCAAUGCCAUAGCAUCCAGUUUUUUUGAUUUCAUACAUCUUCAUUCUGCAUAAUACCACAAAAAAUAAUAUAUAGUGAGGAUAAUUACAGGUAAUGAACAAGCACUACAGCUAGCAAGAGACUUGAAUUACACAACGAAAUCACUUACAGACAAUAGCAAUUGACGAGAGAUUUGUCGAGUGCAUCUUGAUUGAGUAAGUGAAAUAUUUCUUGAUACUUAACCCACAAAUCUUUUUUAUGGUAGUAAUGCUCUGCCUCGACUUUCACCAUGAGGGACUCUCGAUCGGUAGUCUUUACUACUCUCAGGUACCAUUGAUGCAAUUCAUACAUUCUCGUUGACAAAAGCGGGAUCUGCUCAGGCUUGACCAUAGGUUGGCCUCGGACAUAUUUCCAUUGUAGUUGCUCCUGUGUAAACGUUUGGAAGUCCUCGAUGCCUAGGAGUUGUUCUACAGUGACAGCGGCCUCUUUAGCAUGUCUUCUAUGAUUGUCAGUUAUUACCAGCUGCUGAUCGGUUGUUCAUUUAAAGUUAUUUUCAGAGUUCAGGGUCAUUUUAGUUCUUUUCAAUUUCAAGGUCAUUUAGCUAAAAAAAUCAGUAAAUGCAUGAAAAAUAGCAAAUGAUGUCAGAAAUUAAUCACACAUAAGUACCCUAACUAUUACAAAGAUUCCCUCUGGUUUGUCCGAAGUGGGACUUUCAGAUAUAUAAGUCCGAAAACUCACUAGAGAAGAAAGUGAUGAUAGUGAAGUCGGUCACAUCCCAGAGUGGGAUCUUUGGGUGUAAUUUUUUUUUCUUCGUGUGUGUCCCUUUGCGCCGUAACCAUGGACAAUCUUCAUCAUUUAACUGGAUACUCGGGUCAAUAUUCACUGUGAAGAGAGCAAUUUCAUGAAACUUUUCAUAUUGUCCUGACAUGUCUGUCUUGUCCUCCACUCCCACAUUGUUUCUUUUCCCUAAAAGAACUAUGUGGCGCUUUGGCUCAUCGUAUGAUGUAUUCACUUCCUUAUCUUUUCUUUUUCCCGGCUUGGUAGACAUGUCCUUUACAUAGAAAACGUGCACCGCAUCAUUGGCUAGGACGAAUGGUUCGUAUGCGUACCCAAGAUUGUUGAGAUCCACUCUUGUCAUUCCGUACUGCGGGUCUUCCGUUACUCCGCCUCGUGACAGAUUGACCCAUUUGCACCGAACCAAAGGGACCUUCAAAUCACGUCCAUAGUCAAGUUCCCAUAUCUCCUCUAUGUAACCAUAAUAUGUCUCCUUUGGCCUAUUGGUGUUUGCUGCAUCAAAGCGGACACCACUGUUUUGGUUGGUGCUCUUUUUAUCUUGGGCGAUCGUGUAACAUGUAUUCUCAUUUAUCUCUUACCCUUUGAAAGUCAAUAUAUUCGAAGAUGGCAACUUGGACAACAAGUACAACUCAUCUUCAACAACGUCGUCAUGCAUGAGACGUGUCGGCAACCAACCGGCGAAAGUCCUCGUUUGUUCACGUGUAAUCCCGUCGUCAGACUGCUCCGGGUGUUUGUAGCAUAAAAUAUUUUUGUGUUCCUCGAUAUACGGAGCCGCCAAGGAGGAAUUUUGUAGAACUAUGUAGUGUGCUUGAGUGAGAUAAUGCCCGUCCAUACAUAUUAUUGCUUUCGGUCCUAGCAUGCCUUUUCCACCCAGUCGUCCCUCAUGCGGCGAUUCAGGAACACCAAUCGGCUUAAGGUUGGGAAUAAAGUCAACACAAAACUCAAUGACCUCCUCAUUUUCAUGGCCCUUGGAGAUGCUUCCUUCUGGCCUAGCACGCUUAUGAACAUAUUUCUUUAAGACUCCCAUGAACCUCUCAAAGGGGAACAUAUUAUGUAGAAAUACAUGACCCAGAAUGGCAACUAGGACGUGCGUCAUGAUAUUGAAGAAGGAUGGUGGGAACACCAACUCGAAACUGACAAGACAUUGAACCAAAUCAUUCUCUAACCUUGGUAUGAUUUUUGGAUCGAUUACCUUCUGAGAGAUUGCAUUGAGGAAUGCACAUAGCUUCACAAUGGCUAAUCGAACAUUUUUCGAUAGAAGGCCCCUCAAUGCAACCGGAAGCAGUUGCGUCAUAAUCACGUGGAAUUCAUGAGACUUCAGGUUCUAGAACUUUUUCUCCACCAUAUUUAUUAUUCCCUUUAUAUUCGACAAGAAGCCAGAUGGGACCCAGAAAUAUUAUGUAGAAAUACAUGACCCAGAAUGGCAACUAGGACGUGCGUCAUAAUAUUGAAGAAGGAUGGUGGGAACACCAACUCGAAACUGACAAAAAAUUGAACCUGGUGGGAACACCAACUCGAAACUGACAAGACAUUGAACCAAAUCAUUCUCUAACCUUGGUAUGAUUUCUGGAUCGAUUACCUUCUGAGAGAUUGCAUUGAGGAAUGCACAUAGCUUCACAAUGGCUAAUCGAACAUUUUCCAAUAGAAGGCCCCUCAAUGCAACCGGAAGCAGUUGCGUCAUAAUCACGUGGAAUUCAUGAGACUUUAGGUUCUAGAACUUUUUCUCCGCCAUAUUUAUUAUUCCCUUUAUAUUCGACAAGAAGCCAGAUGGGACCUUCAUACUGAGCAGACAUUCAAAGAAGAUUUUCUUCUAUUCUUCCGUAAGAGCGUAGCUGGCACGACCCUGAUGUAUGCCGUCUUUUCCGUGCAUACGUUGUUGGUCCUCUCAUGCCUCCUGUUGGGGAACGUUGCAUGGGAAACAAAAAAUUUCCUACGCACACGAAGACCUAUCAUGGUGAUGUUCAUCUACGAGAGGAGAUUAGAUCUACAUACCCUUGUAGAUCGCUAAGCGGGAAGCGCUAAGAAACGCGGUUGAUGUAGUGGUACAGCUUCGUGAUUCAAAUCACCGUCGUCCCACGAUCUGUCCCACGAUCCGUUUCGAUCUAGCACCGAACGGACGACACCUUCGCAUUCAGCACACGUACAACUCGAUGACGAUCUCGGCCUUCUUGAUCCAGCAAGAGAGACGGAGAAGUAGAUGAGUUCUCCGGCAGCGUGACGGCACGCCGAUGGUGGUGAUGAUCUACUCUUGCAGGGCUCCUCCCGAGCUCCGCAGAAAUCCGAUCUAGAGGACGAACUACGUGGUAUAGGUUUGAGUUGCACGUGGCAAAAGUUGUGUCUCAAAAGCCCUAAAACCACCAGUAUAUAUAAGAGGAUGGCAGGGGCUAACCUUGGGUCUCAAGAGAGCCCCAAGGGCACCGGCCAAGGGGAGUAGGUGGACUCCCACCCCAAUUCAGUUUGGGGGAAGGAGUCCACUCCUUCCUUCCCACCUCCCUCUUUUCUUUGUUUUUUUACUUGUGGCGCCAUAGCCCUCUUGGGCUAGCUCCACCAGCCCACUAAGGGCUGGUGCACCACCCUAGGGUUACCGGGCUCACUCCCGGGUGGGUGGGCCCCUCCCGAUGAACACCCGGAACCCAUUCAUCACUCCCGGUACACUGCCGGUAAUGCCCGAAAAACUUUUCGGUGACCAAAUGAAACCAUCCUAUAUAUCAAUCUUCGUUUCCAGACCAUUCCGGAAACCCUCGUGAUGUUCGUGAUCUCAUCCGGGACUCCGAACAACAUUCGGUCACCAACACAUAUAACUCAACUAUACUAAAACGUCACCGAACCUUAAGUGUGCAGACCCUUCGGGUUCGAGAACUAUGUAGACAUGACCCGGGACACUCCUCGGUCAAUAUCCAAUAGUGGGACCUAGAUGUCCAUAUUGGAUCCUACAUAUUCUACAAAGAUCUUAUCGGUUGAACCUCUGUGCCAAGGAUUCAUAUAAUCCCGUAUAACAUUCCCUUUGUCCUUCGGUAUGUUACUUGCCCGAGAUUUGAUCGUCGGUAUCCCUAUACCUAUUUUAAUCUCGUUACCGGCAAGUCUCUUUACUCGUUCCAUAAUACAAGAUCUCGUGACUAACACAUUAGACAUAUUGCUUGCGAGGCUUGUUUGUGAUGUUGUAUUACCGAGUGGGCCCCGAGAUACCUCUCCGUCACACAGAGUGACAAAUCCCAGUCUUGAUCCAUGCUAACUCAACGGACACCUUCGGAUAUACCUGUAGAGCACCUUUAUAGUCACCCAGUUACGUUCUGACGUUUGAUACACAGAAGGCAUUCCUCUGGUGUCAGUGAGUUACAUGAUCUCAUGGUCAUAGGAAUGAAUACUUGACACACAGAAAACAAUAGCAAAAAAAUGACAUGAUCACAUGCUACGUUCAUAGUUUGGGUCUAGUCCAUCACAUGAUUCUCCUAAUGAUGUGAUCCAGUUAUCAAGUGAGAACACUUGCAUAUGGUCAGAAAACCUUAACCAUCCUUGAUCAACUGGCUAUCCAACUAGAGUCUUGCUAGGGACAUUGUUUUGUCUAUAUAUCCACACAUGUAUAUAUGUUUUCAUUCAAUACAAUUAUAGCAUGGAUAAUAAACGAUUAUCUUGAAACAGGAAAUAUAAUAGUAACUAUUUUAUCAUUGCCUCUAGGUCAUAUUUCCAACAGUCUCCCACUUGCGCUAGAGUCAAUAAUCUAGUCUCACAUCGCCAUGCGAUUUAUAUUGUAAUGAAUCUAACACCCAUACAGUUCUGGUGUUGAUCAUGCUUUGCCCGUGGAAGAGGUUUAGUCAGCGGAUCUGCUGCAUUUAGAUCCGUGUGCACUCCUUCGACGUAGUCGCGGAUGAGGUUGAAGUGUCGUUUGAUGUGUCUGGUCUUCUUGUGAAACCUUGGUUCCUGUGCUAAAGCAAUGGCACCAGUGUUGUCACAGAAUAAUGUUAUUGGAUUUAGUGCGCUCGGCACAACUCCAAGAUCCGUCAUGAACUGCUUCAUCCAGACACCCUCCUUAGCUGCCUCCGAGGCAACCAUGUACUCCGCCUCACAUGAAUAAUCUGCUACGACGCUUUGCUUGGAACUGCACCAGCUUACCGCACCCCCAUUAAGAAUAAAUACGUAUCCGGUUUGAGACUUAGAGUCAUGUGGAUCGGUGUCAAAACUUGUGUCGACGUAACCAUUUACGAUGAGCUCUUCGUCACCUCCAUAAACGAGAAACAUUUCCUUAGUCCUUUUCAGGUACUUCAGAAUAUUCUUGACCGCUGAUACGUCCAUUUUGCAUCAUGUUUUCAUGUUAAUAUUUAUCGCUUCUUGGGCUGUUAUUUCACUUCACGGUACAAUUCUUAUGCCUUUUCUCUCUUAUUUUGCAAGGUUUACAUGAAGAGGGAGAAUACCGACAACUGGAAUUCUGGCCUGAAAGUGGAGCAAGUUUGAGAUACCUAUUCUGCGCAACUCCAAACGCCGUGAAAAUCAACGGGGAUUUGUUUCCCGAUUUAUCAAAAAUACUAGGCCGAAGAAGUGCCAGAGGGGCACCAGGGGGUGCCCACAAGCCUGCACGGCGGCGCCACCCCCCAGGCCGCGCCAUGGGGGCUUAUGGGCAGCCCACUGGCCCACUGCCCCCCCUCUUUUGCUAUAUGGAGGGUUUCAUCCAGGAAAAAAUCAUGGAGGAGCUUUUUCGUGGUUUCGCCGCCGCCACGAGGCGGAACUUGAGCAGAACCAAUCUAGAGCUCCGGCAGGACGAUCCUGCCGGGGAAACUUCCCUCCCGGAGGGGGAAAUCAUCGCCAUCGUCAUCACCAACACUCCUCUCAUCGGAGGGGACUCGUCACCAUCAACAUCUUCAUCAGCACCAUCUCAUCUCCAAACCCUAGUUCAUCACUUGUAACCAAUCUCCGUCUCGCGACUCCGAUUGGUACUUGUAAGGUUGCUAGUAGUGUUGAUUACUCCUUGUAGUUGAUGCUAGUUGGAUUAUUUGGUGGAAGAGUUUAUGUUCAGAUCCUUGAUGCUACCCAUUACCUCUCUGGUCAUGAAUAUGAUUAUGCUUUGUGAGUAGUUACUUUUGUUCCUGAGGACAUGGGAUAAGUCGUGCUAAUAGUAGUCAUGUGAAUUUGGUAUUCGUUCGGUAAUUUGAUAUGUUGUAUGUUGUUUUUCCUCUAGUGGUGUUAUGUGAACGUCGACUACAUAACACUUCACCAUUAUUUGGGCCUAGAGGAAGGGAUUGGGAAGUAGUAAGUAGAUGAUGGGUUGCUAGAGUGACAGAAGCUUAAACCCUAGUUUAUGUGUUACUUCGUAAGGGGCUGAUUUGGAUCCACUAGUUUAAUGCUAUGGUUAGACUUUGUCUUAAUUCUUCUUUCGUAGUUGUGUAUGCUUGCGAGAGGGGUUAAUGAUAAGUGGGAUGCUUGUCCAAGUAAGGGAAGUACCCAAGCGCCGGUCCACCCACAUAUCAAACUAUCAAAGUAACGAACGCGAAUCAUAUGAACAUGAUGAAAUUAGCAUGACAGAAAUUCCCGUGUGUCACCGGGAGCGUUUUUCCUCCUAUAAGACUUUGUCCAGGCUUGUCCCUUGCUACAAAAGGGAUUGGGCCACUUUGCUGCACCGUUGCUACUUUUGUUACUUGUUGCUUGCUACGAAUCAUCUCACCACACAAUCACUUGUUACCGACAAUUUCAGUGCUUGCAGAUUUUACCUUGCUGAAAACCACUUGUCAGAUCCUUCUGCUCCUCGUUGGGUUCGACACUCUUACUUAUCGAAAGGACUACAAUUGAUCCCCUAUACUUGUGGGUCAUCAAGACUCUUUUCUGGCGCCGUUGUCGGGGAGUGAAGCGCCUUUGGUAAGUGGAACUUGGUAAGGAAACAUUCAUAUAGUGUGCUGAAAUUUAUUGUCACUUGUCACUAUGGAUACUAAUCCUUUUAGGGGCUUGUUCGGGGUAUCUUCACCUCGAACGAAAGCACAAAGAGUUGCUCCUCAACCUGCUGCACCUACUGAAAAUAUUUGCUUUGAAUUUCCUUCGGGUAUGCUUGAGAAAUUGCUGGCUAAUCCUUUUACACGAGAUGGAACAUCACAUCCAGACUUGCAUCUGAUCUAUGUAGAUGAGGUUUGCGGUUUAUUUAAGCUUGCAGGUGUGCCCGAGGAUGAGGUCAAGAAGAAGGUCUUUCCUUUAUCUUUGAAGGAUAAGGCGUUGACAUGGUAUAGGCUAUGUGAUGAUACUGGAUCAUGGGACUACAAUCGGUUGAAAUUGGAAUUUCAUCAAAAGUUUUAUCCUAUGCAUUUAGUACAUCGUGAUCGGAAUUAUAUUUAUAAUUUUUGGCCUCAUGACAGAGAAAGCAUCGCUCAAGCUCGGGAGAGGCUUAAAUCAAUGCUAUAUUCAUGCCCCAAUCAUGAGCUCUCGAGAGAAAUUAUCAUUCGAAACUUCUAUGCUUGGCUUUCUCAUGAUGAUCGCACCAUGCUUGAUACUUCUUGUACCAUUUCUUUUAUGAAGAGAGAUAUUGACUUCAAAUGGAAUUUAUUGGAGAGAAUUAAACGCAACUCUGAAGAUUGGGAGCUUGAAGAAGGUAAGGAGUCAGGUAUGAAUUUCACUUUUGAUUGCGUUAAAUCCUUUGUUGAGACAAAUACUUUUUGUGACUUUAGCGCUAAGUAUGGACUUAACUCUGAGAUAGUAGCUUCAUUGUGUGAAUCCUUUGCUGCUCAUAUUGAUCCCUGAUACGUCUCAAACGUAUCUAUAAUUUUUUAUGGUUUGACGCUGUUAUCUUGUCUUCUUUGGAUGUUUUAUGUACCUUUUAUAUCUUUUUUGGGACUAACUUAUUAAUUCAGUGCCAAGUGUCAGUUCCUGUUUUUUCUGUGUUUUUGACUCUUUUCAGAUCUGAUUUUGGAAUGGAGUCCAAACGGAAUAAAAACCCCAAAAUGAUUUUUUUCCCGAACGAAAGAAGAUCAGGGGGCCUUUGGGCCAAGCCAGGUGGGCUCCAGGGAGCCCACAAGCCCCCCACUCCGCCACCAGGGGGAGGCGGCGGUGUCAGGGCUUGUGGCCUCCCUGGCCGCCCCCUGACCUAGAUCCUUGGCCUAUAUAUUCCCAAAUAUUCAGCAAAAAAUCAGGGGAGCCUCAAAAAUACUUUUCCGUCGCCGCAAGCUUCCGUUUCCGCGAGAUCUCAUCCGGAGACCCUUCCCGGCACCCUGUCGGAGGGGACUUUGGAGUUGGAGGGCUUCUUCAUCAUCAUCAUCGCCCCUCCAAUGACUCGUGAGUAGUUCACUUCAGACCUACGGGUCUGUAGUUAGUAGCUAGAUGGCUUCUUCUCUCUCUUGGAUCUUCAAUACAAAGUUCUCCAUGAUCUUCAUGGAGAUCUAUCCGAUGUAAUCUUCUUUGGUGGUGUGUUUGUCGAGAUCCGAUGAAUUGUGGAUUUGUGAUAAGAUUAUCUAUGAUAUAUAUUUGAGUCUUUGCUGAUUUCUUAUAUGCAUGAUUUCAUAUCCUUGUAAGUCUCUCCAAGUCUUGGGUUUGGUUUGGCCAACUAGAUCUAUGAUUCUUGCAAUGGGAGAAGUGCUCGGUUUUGGGUUCUACCAUGUGGUGACCUUUCCUAGUGACAGUAGGGGCAGCAAGGCACACACCAAGUAGUUGCCAUCAAGGGUAAAAAUAUGGGGGUUUUAUCAUUGGUUUGAUAAUAUCCCUCUACAUCAUGUCAUCUUGCUUAAGGCGUUACUCUGUUCUUAUGGACUUAAUACACUAGAUGCAUGCUGGAUAGCGGUCGACGUGUGGAGUAAUAGUAGUAGAUGCAGAAAGUAUCGGUCUACUUGUUUUGGACGUGAUGACUAUAGAUAUAAUCAUUGCAUAGAUAUCGUCACGACUUUGCGCGGUUCUAUCAAUUGCUCGAGAGUAAUUUGUUCACCCACCGUCUACUUGCUUUCAUGAGAGAAGCCACUAGUAAACACUACGGCCCCCGGGUCUAUUCACAUCCAUCGUUUACACCUCCGCUUUUACUUUGCUUUGUUACUUUGUUGCUUUCAGUUCUCACUUGGCAAACAAUCUAUAAGGGAUUGACAACCCCUUCAUAGCGUUGGGAGGAAGCUUUUGUGUUUGUGCAGGAUCUUGUGAUACUCCUCCACCGGAUUGAUACCUUGGUUCUCAAACUGAGGAAAAUACUUACCACCGCUGUGCUACAUCACCCUUUCCGCUUCGAGGGAACACCAACGCAAGGCUCCAAGGCCACGGGGGAAAUCCUCUGCAUACUUGCCUAGGAAGUCCCUUAAGGCGUAGCCGCAGCUGAAGGAUUCCUGGUGCCGUCGACACGACUAUUCUUGGCGCCGUUGCAAGGCAAGCACAACUGACAUCAGAAGUAUUUCUGGCGCCGUUGCCGGGGAGGAGAAAUCAAGAUCUAUCCAAGUAGGUCUCACAAACUCUUCUCUUGCAUUUACUUUUGUUGCGAGUUGCCUCUCGUUUUCCUCUCCCCCACUUCACAUUUGCCGUUUUCAUUUGCCUUUCUCCUUUGCUGUUUUCUUUUGCCUUUUUGCCGUUUUCUUUUGCCCGUUUCACUCUCUCUUCCUACUCGUUUGUGCGUGAGAUAGUCCAUCAAUGGCUAGACUCGCCACUCCAAAUGACACCCCUGAAAAUGAAGUUCUCAAUUUCAGGCAGAAUGAGGAAGAAAAUUUGAAGGACGCUUGGUAUAGGAUUUGCAAUGCUCAAAGUAGAUCUACUCAUAAGCAAUCCACUACCGUCCUCCUUCGCAGUUUCUAUGUUGGAAUUUCUCCUUGGAAUAGGUAUAUCCUUGAUACCAUUGUAGGUGGGAACUUUUUGGGGAGCCAUACUGUUGACUCCUAUAGAGCUAUCAUUAAUUUGGUAGGCUCACCCCCGCUCAUGGUUAAUGGAACUAUCUUGACCUUGGAACACGUGAUGCAAAGGCUUGACGCUAUUGCAAACAAAAUUGCCACAGUUGAACUUAUUGAGGGUUUGGAUAGAAAGAUCCACAAUCAAAUCACUCAGUACAGAUCCAAAGUGGGAAACUUUUUGAAAAACUUAAAGGAGAAGGAACUUAUAGUUAAUGAUUCUUCUAUAAUUGGCAAAUUAGAAGAUGUCAUAACCAACUUGGGUUCCGCUUUUGCCGCUGUGGAAAAUACUCCAAAUCUUACUCUCAAAAAGACCGUCAAGCCUGUUUUUGUCCUAAAGCUAGUGGUGAGUCAUCUAAUAAAGAUGAAAAUCUUAAGAUGACAAAAUGAUCACACUACCUAUGGUUUGAGCACCAAAGAUGACUAUACGUGAUUCCAUCACUUUUUGCCUAGCUAAGGGCGUUAAACAAAAGCGCUUGUUGGGAGGCAACUCAACGAAUCUAUCCUUUUUCUUUCUAUUUUGUGUUUUUCACACUUUCAUAAUUCUGUUAUGAUUGUGUUUUUUGUGUUUCUUUUUGCGUUUGUGCCAAGCAAAACCGUUAUGAUUAGUCUUGGGGAUGAUCGUUUGGUCAUGCUGGAAAAGACAGAAACUUUCUGCUCACGAAACAAAUUUUCAUUUUUUUCUGUAAGAGCUUUUGAGUUGAUUCUUUUUGCUGCUGAUUGCUACGCAAUUUCUUCAGACUGUCGUAAUUUUUCAGAAUUUUGGAAGUACCAUAGGUAUACGAAAUAUACAGAUUGCUUUGGACUGCUGUUAACAGAUUUUGUUUUUGUUGUGUUGGUUUCUUAUUUUGAUGAAACUAUGGAUAGUAUCGGGGGGUAUUAGCCAUGUAAGAUUGAAAAUACAGUAACCCAACAUCAGCAUAAGUAGAAUUUAAGUUUGCUACAGUACCUAAGGAAGUGGUGGUUUGCUUUCUUGUACUAAUGUUAUCACGAGUUUCUGUUUAAGUUUCGUGUUGUGAAGUUUUAAAGUUUUGGGUGAAGUUCUUAUGGACAAAGAGAUAAAGAGUGGCAAGCGCUCAAGCUUGGGGAUGCCCAAGGCACCCCAAGAGAUUCAAGGAUGCCAUAAAAGCCUAAGCUUGGGGAUGCCCCGGGAAGGCAUCCCCUCUCUUGUCUUCAAUCCAUCGGUAACGUUACUUGUGGCUAUAUUUUUAUUCACCACAUGUUAUGUGUUUUUGCUUGGAGCGUCUUGUAUCGUAGGAGUCUUUUAUUUUUUGUUGUUGUGUCACAAUCAUUCUUGAUGCACACCUAGAGAGAGACAUGCACUCACCGUGAUUUUGUCGAGCUUCACUUAUAUCUUUUGGUAGACAAUUCAGCUCACAUGUGCUUCACUUAUAUCUUUUGAGCUAGAUACUUUUGCUCUAUGUGCUUCACUUAUAUCUUUUAGAGCACAGUGGUGCGUGGCUUGGUAGUUGAUCUAUGCUUUGAAAGUAGUCUCAAAAGGGGUAGUAAUCCAAAGGGAUACAAAAACUUCCACCUUCAUGUGCAUUGAAUAGUUAGAGAAGUUUGAUUCAUCUCAAUUAGUUUUGAGUUGUGGUUAUGGUAAUUUUGAAGUCAUGCUAGUAAGGUGUUGUGGAUCUAGAAAUACUUGUGUUUAAGUUAGUGAUUCCCUUAGCAUGCACGUAUGGUGAACCGCUAUGUGAUGAAAUCUGAGCAUGAUUAGUAUAUUGAUUGUCAUCCUUUGCGUGGCGGUCGGGAUUGCGCGAUGGUUUAUACCUACCAACCCUUCCCCUAGGAGUAUGCGUCGAAUGCUUUGUUUAGAUUACUAAUAAAACUUUUGCAACAAGUAUAUGAGUUCUUCAUGACUAAUGUUGAGUCCAUGGUUUAGAUGCACUUUCACCUUCCACCAUCACUAUCUUCUUAGUGUUGUGCAACUUUCGCCGGUGCACAAAACCCACCAUUAGCCUCCCUCAAAACAGCCGCCAUACCUACCUACUAUGGCUUUUUCAAAGUCAUUCCGAGAUAUAUUGCCAUGCAACUACCACCAUGACAUGUGCCACCACGUCUACAUUGCCAUUGCAUGAUCGUAAGAUAGCUAGCAUGAUGUUUCCAUUGAUGUAUAUGCCAUGCUAGAUCAUUGCCACGAUACACUACCGAAGGCAUUCCAUAUAGAGUCAUAGUUGCUCUAAGUUUUGAGUUGAAAGUGUGAUGAUCAUCAUUAAUGGAGCAUUGUCCCAUGUGAGGAAAUAAAAGAGGCCAAAGAAGCCCACUAAAAAAAAGAGGCCAAAGAUCCCACCAAAUAAAAAAUGAGAGAAAAAGAGAGAAGGGACAAUGCUACCACUUUUUCCACACUUGUGCAUAUUAAGCACCAUGAUCUUCAUGAUUGAGAGUCUCUCGUUUUGUCACCACCAUAUAGCUAGUGGGAAAUUUUCAUUAUAUAACUUGGCUUGUAUAUUCCAAUGAUAGGCUUCCUCAAAAUUUCCUUAGGUCUUCGUGAGCAAGCAAGUUGGAUGCACACCCACUAGUUUUCUUUAAGAGCUUUCACAUACUCUUAGCUCUAGUGCAUCAUUUGUAUGGUAAUCCCUACUCAUUCACAUUGAUAUCUAUUGAUGAGCAUCUCCACAACUCAUUGAUAUGCCUAGUUAAUGUGACUAUCUUCUCCUUUUUGUCUUGCAACCUCCACCACACUCCACACCAUCUAUAGUGCUAUAACCAUGGCUCACGCUCAUGUAUUGCGUGAGAGUUGAAAAGGUUUGAGAAAGUAAAGGUGUGAAACAAUUACUUGGCCAAUACCGGGGUUGUGCAUGAUUUAAAUUCGUUGUGCAAUGAUGAUAGAGCAUAGCCAGACUAUAUGCUUUUGUAGGGAUAACUUUCUUUUGGCCUUGUUAUUUUGAAAGUUCAUGAUUACCUUGCUAGUUUGCUUGAAUUAUUAUUGUUUCCACGUCAAUAACAAACUAUUGUUUUGAAUAUAAUGGAUCUGAACAUUCACGUCACAUAAGAGGAAUUACAAAGGACACUUAUGCUAGGUAGCAUGAAAGCAUCAAAAAUUAAUUCUUUAUCACUUUCCUACUCGAGGACAAGAAGGAGUUAAGCUUGGGGAUGCUUGAUACGUAUCAAACGUAUCUAUAAUUUUUGAUGGUUUCACACUGUUAUCUUGUCUUCUUUGGAUCUUUUAUGUACCUUUUAUAUCUUUUUUGGGACUAACUUAUUAAUUCAGUGCCAAGUGCCAGUUCCUGUUUUUUCUGUGUUUUUGACUCUUUUCAGAUCUGAUUUUGGAACGGAGUCCAAACGGAAUAAAAACCCCGAAAUGAUUUUUUCCCGAACGGAAGAAUAUCAGGGGGCCUUUGGGCCAAGCCAGGUAGGCUCCAGGGAGCCCACAAGCCCCCACUCCGCCACCAGGGGGAGGCGGCGGUGUCAGGGCUUGUGGCCUCCCUGGCCGCCCCCUGACCUAGAUCCUUGGCCUAUAUAUUCCCAAAUAUUCAGCAAAAAAUCAGGGGAGCCUCGAAAAUACUUUUUCGCCGCCGCAAGCUUCCGUUUCCGCGAGAUCUCAUCUGGAGACCCUUCCCGGCACCCUGUCGGAGGGGACUUCGGAGUUGGAGGGCUUCUUCAUCAUCAUCAUCGCCCCUCCAAUGACCUGUGAGUAGUUCACUUCAGACCUACGGGUCCGUAGUUAGUAGCUAGAUGGCUUCUUCUCUCUCUUGGAUCUUCAAUACAAAGUUCUCCAUGAUCUUCAUGGAGAUCUAUCCGAUGUAAUCUUCUUUGGCGGUGUGUUUGUCGAGAUCCGAUGAAUUGUGGAUUUGUGAUCAGAUUAUCUAUGAUAUAUAUUUGAGUCUUUGCUGAUUUCUUAUAUACAUGAUUUAGUAUCCUUGUAACUCUCUCCGAGUCUUGGGUUUUGUUUGACCAACUAGAUCUAUGAUUCUUGCAAUGGGAGAAGUGCUUGGUUUUGGGUUCUACCAUGUGGUGACCUUUCCUAGUGACAGUAGGGGCAGCAAGGCACACAUCAAGUAGUUGCCAUCAAGGGUAAAAAGAUGGGGUUUUUAUCAUUGGUUUGAGAUUAUCCCUCUACAUCAUGUCAUCUUGCUUAAGGCGUAUCUCUGUUCUUAUGGACUUAAUACACUAGAUGCAUGCUGGAUAGCGGUCGACGUGUGGAGUAAUAGUAGUAGAUGCAGAAAGUAUCGGUCUACUUGUUUUGGAUGUGAUGCCUAUAGAUAUAAUCAUUGCAUAGAUAUCGUCACGACUUUGCGUGGUUCUAUCAAUUGCUCGACAGUAAUUUGUUCACCCACCGUCUACUUGCUUUCAUGAGAGAAGCCACUAGUAAACACUACGGCCCCGGGGUCUAUUCACAUCCAUCGUUUACACCUCCACUUUUACUUUGCUUUGUUACUUUGUUGCUUUCAGUUCUCACUUGGGAAACAAUCUAUAAGGGAUUGACAACCCCUUCAUAGCGUUGGGAGCAAGCUUUUGUGUUUGUGCAGGAUCUUGUGACACUCCUCCACCGGAUUGAUACCUUGGUUCUCAAACUGAGGGAGAUACUUACCACCGUUGUGCUACAUCACCCUUUCCGCUUCGAGGGAACACCAUCGCAAGGCUCCAAGGCCACGGGGGAAAUCCUUUGCAUACUUUCCUAGGAAGUCCCUUAAGGCGUAGCCGCAGCUAAAGGAUUCUUGGUGCCGUCGACACGACUAUUCUUGGCGCCGUUGCAAGGGAAGCACAUCUGACAUCAAUCCCCCCAAAGAGAAGUGGUUUAAGUAUCAUCCUCCUUUAGAAGUCAAUGUAGUUAAACCCACUCCAGUUGAAGAGAAAGUCAUUGCCUAUAAUGAUCCUGUUGUACCGAGUGCUUACAUUGAGAAAUCACCUUUCCAUGUUAGGAUAAAGGAUCAUUCUAAAGCUUCAACUGUCAUAUGUAGAGGCUAUAUUAGAACACGUACACCCCGUGAGCAAAUUAGAGUUGAACCUAGCAUUGCUAUUAUCAAAGAUCUUCUGUCUGAAGAAGUUAAGGGACAUAAUAUUCACUUCUGUGAAGAUGCUGCUAGAAUUGCUAAACCUCACGUUAGAGACAAACAUAUGCCUGUUGUUGGCAUGCAUGUGGUUUCUGUUAAGAUAGGAGAUCAUUGUUAUCAUGGUUUAUGUGACGUGGGUGCUAGUGUUAGUGCAAUACCUCAAUCAUUAUACGAUGAAAUCAAAGAUGAGAUUGCACAUGUUGAGAUAGAGCCUAUUGACGUCACUAUUCAGCUUGCCAAUAGAGACACUAUCUGCCCUAUGGGAAUUGUUAGAGAUGUUGAAGUCUUGUGUGGUAAAACGAAGUAUCCUGCUGAUUUCCUCGUUCUUGCUAUUGCACAAGAUAGCUUUUGUCCCAUCAUAUUUGGCAGACCCUUCCUCAAUACCGUCGAUGCUCAUAUUGAUUGUGAGAAGCAAUCUGUCACUGUUGGCUUUGAAGGUGUGUCACAUGAGUUCAAUUUCUCUAAGUUUGGUAGACAACCUAAUGAAAAAGAGUUGCCUAGUAGGGAUGAAACUAUUGCCUUAGCUUCUAUUGCCGUGCCUCCUACUGAUCCAUUAGAUAAAUACUUGCUUGAGCAUGAAAAUGAUAUGCAUAUGGAUGAAAGGGAUGAGAUAAAUAGAGUUGUGCUACUGCAACAAAAGACCUUCCAACGGCGCCAGAAAUACUUCUGACGUUUCCUAUGUAUCCCUGGCAAUGGCGCCAGAAAUAGGCACGUCGACGGGAGAAUACGUGGCUUGAUCUUUUUGCUGCGGCUACGCCUUAAGGGACUUCCUAGGCAAGUAUGCAAAGGAUUUCCCCCGUGGCCUUGGAGCUUUGCGUUGGUGUUCCCUCAAAGCAGAAAGGGUGAUGUAGCGUAGCUGUGGUAAGUAUUUCCCUCGGUUUGAGAACCAAGGUAGCAGUCCGGCGGAAGAGUAUCUCAAGAUCCUGCACAAACACAAAAGCUUGCACCCAACACUAUGAAGGGGUUGUCAAUCCCUUAUAGAUUGUUUGCCAAGUGAGAACUGAAAAGCAACAAAGUAACAAAGCAAAGUAAAAGCGGAGUUGUAAACGAUGGAUGUGAAUAGACCCGGGGGCCGUAGUGUUUACUAGUGGCUUCUCUCAUGAAAGCAAGUAGACGGUGGAUGAAGAAAUUACUGUCGAGCAAUUGAUAGAACUGUGCAGAGUCGUGACGAUAUCUAUGCAAUGAUUAUUUCUAUAGGCAUCACGUCCGAAACAAGUAGACCGAUACUGUCUGCAUCUACUACUAUUACUCCACACAUCGACCGCCAUCCAGCAUGCAUCUAGUGUAUUAAGUCCAUAAGAACAGAGUAACGCCUUAAGCAAGAUGACAUGAUGUAGAGGGAUAAUCUCAAAUCAAUGAUAAAAACCCCAUAUUUUUACCCUUGAUGGCAACUGCUUGAUGUGUGCCUUGCUGCCCCUACUGUCACUGGGAACGGUCACCACAUGGCAGAACCCAAAACCAAGCACUUCUCCCAUUGCAAGAAUCAUAGAUCUAGUUGGCCAAACAAAACCCAAGACUCGGAGAGACUUACAAGGAUAGCACGGCCUAAAGGCUCCCUGGACUUCUUCCAUUCGGGAAAAAAUCAUUUCGGGGUUUUUCUUCCGUUUGGACUCUGUUCCAAAAUCAGAUCUGAAAAGAGUCAAAAACACGGAAAAACAGGAACUGACACUUGGCACUGAAUCAAUAAGUUAGCCCCAAAAAAUAUAUAAAAAGAUACAUAAAACAAACAAAGAAGACAAGACAACAGCGUGAAACCAUAAAAAAAUAUAGAUAUGUUUGAGACGUAUCAAGUUGUCUUAGAACAAUAUCAUAUUCUUAAGAAUAAUGUGCCUGUUGAACUGCUUGGGGAUCCACCUCCACCAAAGGGUGAUCCUGUGUUCAAGCUUAAACAGUUGCCUGAUACUCUUAAGUAUGCCUAUCUUGAUGAAAAAGAGAUAUAUCCUGUUAUUAUUAGUGCUAGCCUCUCAGAGCAUGAAGAAAAGAAGUUACUAAAAACUGUGAGGAAGCACCGUGCUGCUAUUGGAUAUACUCUUGAUGAUCUUAAAUGCAUUAGUCCCACUCUAUGCGAGCACAAGAUCAAAACUGAUCCUGAUUUCAAACCAGUUGUUGCUCAUCAAAGGAGAUUGAAUCCUAAGAUGAAAGAGGUAGUAAGAAAAGAAAUACUAAAGCUCCUCGAAGCGGGUAUUAUCUAUCCUGUUGCUCAUAGCGAUUGGGUGAGUCUGGUGCAUUGUGCUCCUAAGAAGGGAGGCAUUACCGUUGUCCCUAAUGAUAAGGAUGAAUUGAUCCCACAGAGGAUUAUUACUGGCUAUAGGAUGGUGAUCGAUUUCAGGAAAUUGAAUAAAGCCACUAGGAAAGAUCAUUACCCUCUGCCUUUUAUCGACCAAAUGCUAGAAAGACUGUCUAAACACACACACUUUUGCUUUCUAGACGAUUAUUCUGGUUUCUCCCAAAUACGAGUUGCACAAUCUGAUCAGGAGAAAACCACGUUCACCUGCCCUUUCGGUACCUUUGCUUAUAGACGUAUGCCUUUUGGCUUAUGUAAUGCACCUGCCACUUUUCAAAGAUGUAUGAUGGAUGUAUUCUAUUACUUUUGUGAAAAGAUUGUCGAGGUUUUCAUGGAUGACUUCUCCGUUUACGGGUCUUCCUUUGAUGAUUGCCUCAGCAACCUUGAUCGAGUCUUACAGAGAUGUAAAGACACCAACCUUGUCUUGAAUUGGGAGAAGUGCCACUUUAUGGUUAAUGAAGGCAUCGUCUUAGGACAUAAAAUUUCUGAAAGAGGUAUUAAAGUCGAUAAUGCUAAGGUUAAUGCAAUCGAGAAAAUGCCAUACCCCACAGAUAUCAAAGGUAUAAGAAGUUUCCUUGGUCAUGUUGGUUUCUAUAGAAGGUUCAUUAAAGACUUCUCUAAGAUUUCUAGGCCUCUUAUCAAUCUCUUGCAAAAGGAUAUUCCUUUUGUUUUUGACGAUGAUUGUGAGGAAGCCUUCGAAAUACUUAAGAGGGCUUUGAUAACUGCACCUAUUGUUCAACCACCUGAUUGGAACCUGCCUUUUGAGAUCAUGUGUGAUGCUAGUGAUUAUGCUGUUGGUGUUGUUCUAGGGCAAAGAGUUGAUAAGAAGUUGAAUGUUAUUCACUAUGCUAGUAAAACUCUAGACAGUGCCCAGAGAAACUAUGCUACUACGGAGAAGGAAUUUUUAGCAGUCGUGUUUGCAUGUGAAAAGUUCAGGUCUUGCAUAGUUGAUUCCAAAGUCACUAUUCACACUGAUCAUGUUGUUGUUAAGUACCUCAUGGAGAAGAAGGACGCUAAACCUAGACUUAUCAGAUGGGUUCUCUUGCUACAAGAAUUUGAUUUGCACGUUGUCGACAGAAAGGGUGCUGAUAACCCAGUAGCAGAUAACUUGUCUAGGUUGGAGAAUGUUCUUGAUGACCCACAACCUAUUGAUGAUAGCUUUCCCGAUGAGCAAUUGAAUGUCAUCAAUGCUUCACGUAGUGCACCGUGGUAUGCUGAUUAUGCGAACUAUAUCGUUGCCAAAUACAUACCACCUAGUUUCACGUACCAGCAAAAGAAGAAAUUUUUCUUUGACUUGAGACAUUACCAGCAAAGGAAGGAGUAGAUGGUGCUAUUAGACGUUGCGUACCUGAACAUGAACAUGGACAGAUCCUACAGAAGUGUCACUCCGAGGCCUACGGAGGACACCAUGCGGGAGACAGAACUGCACACAAGGUAUUGCAAUCAGGUUUCUAUUGGCCCACUCUCUUCAAGGAUGCCCGUAAGUUUGUCUUGUCUUGUGAUGAAUGUCAAAGAAUAGGUAAUAUUAGCAAACGUCGGGAAAUGCCUAUGAACUAUUCACUUGUCAUUGAACCAUUUGAUGUUUGGGGAUUUGAUUAUAUGGGACCUUUUCCAAAAUCCAACGGGUAUACGCAUAUCUUAGUUGAUGUUGAUUACGUCACUAAGUGGGUAGAAGCUAUCCCCACUAGUAGUGCUGAUCACAACACCUCUAUUAAGAUGCUGAAAGAAGUUAUCUUCCCUAGAUUUGGAGUCCAUAGAUAUCUAAUGACCGACGGUGGUUCACACUUCAUUCAUGGUGCUUUCCGUAAAACGCUUGCUAAGUACGAUGUCAACCAUAGAAUUGCGUCUCCCUAUCACCCUCAGUCCAGUGGUCAAGUAGAGCUAAGUAAUACAAAGAUUAAACUGAUUCUGCAAAAGACUGUCAACAGGUCUAGAAAGAAUUGGUCUAAGAAGCUCGACGAUGCACUGUGGGCUUAUAGAACUGCCUAUAAGAAUCCCAUGGGCAUGUCUCCGUACAAAAUGGCGUACGGUAAAGCCUGCCAUUUACCUCUUGAGCUAGAGCAUAAAGCUUAUUGGGCAAUCAAAGAGUUCAACUUUGAUUUCAAACUUGCCGGUGAGAAGAGGUUAUUUGAUAUUAGCUCGCUUGAUGAGUGGAGAACUCAGGCAUAUGAGAAUGCCAAGCUGUUCAAAGAGAAGGUUAAGAGGUGGCAUGAUAAGAGGAUACAAAAGCGUGAGUUCAAUGUAGGUGAUUAUGUCUUGCUAUAUAACUCUCGUUUAAGAUUCUUUGCAGGCAAGCUUCUCUCUAAAUGGGAAGGUCCCUAUGUUGUUGAGGAAGUAUAUCGUUCCGGUGCUAUCAAGAUCAACAACAAGGAAGGUAAUUGUCCGAGAGUGGUCAAUGGGCAGAGAAUCAAGCAUUAUAUCUCAGGUACUCCCAUAAAUGUUGAAAGUAAUAUCAUCAAUACCAUAACUCCGGAAGAAUACCUAAGGGACAUUUAUCAGCCUAUUUCAGACUCCAAAAACGAAGAGGUAUGUGAUUCGGUAAGAAAACAGAGCCCAAAACUUUUCCAAUAGGAAUUUUUCUCCGUUUAGGAAUAUUUGAAAAAAAUACAAAAAUUGGAAGUAGUCCGGAAAGUGCGCGAGGAGGCGACAAGCCUGCACGGCGCGGGCCCACCCCCUGGCCGCGCCGUGAGGGCUUGUGGCCACCUCGUGCGCCUCCCGGACUCUGUUUUCGUGCAUGGGACUCCUUCUGGUCUGGAAAAAAUCAUUAUAUAUACUCCCGUUUGGUCUGACCCCUGCAUCACGCAGAUUUCCUCUGUUUUUUGUUUCGAGCUUGUUUCUGUUGCAGAUCUAGAUUGCCAUGACUUCCCCAAAAGCUCCUAAGGACAAGAUCUUCGAGAAGGUCAUCAAUCCCUACCUCGCGGGAGUGCUGCAACACCCUCAAUCUAUCGAGAUGCAUGAGGGGAUGUUGCACAUCCGUGAUGUUGAGGGGCCUAAGAAGACCGGAAGCGUGGAGACGAGGCUCGAAGCAAUGGAGCAGCAAGUCUUCAAGUGCCAAGGGAUGGUGGAGCGUGGACUCAACGCCAACCACAUGAUGAUCACGGAGUUCACCAACAAGCACAGGAUUGAUGCCAAUGACAUUGGGAAGCACCUCUCCAAGCUCUAUGACAGGGUUGAUCAACUCCAGGACCAGAUCUAUGACCUGCAGAACGAAAACUGUGAGUAUGAGUAUAGAUUUAAAUCAAUAAGGUUGGCUGCAGAUUUGAGGAUUCCGGAGACUCGAUCAUUUUUCCAUGAUGGAGCACCUAUGCCUUGGAAGACGGAGGAUCAAACUCAUGUUGCAACAACUCCACCAUCACCACCAAAGGAAGACAACUGAUCAUUGGUAUGGGCAAUCCCCUUGGCUUGUGCCAAGCUUGGGGGAGUUGCCCCGGUAUCGUAUCACCAUCACAUCUUUUGCCUUUACCUUUGUUUUAGUUUUCCUUUUCAGUUUUCUUUUUCUCUAGUAGUUUAAAAGUCUUAGUGUUUUAAGUCUUGAGUUUUGCUUUGUGUCACCCCCGUUGUAUUCUUGCUCGUGAGCCAUAUAAUAAAGAGUGUCUUAGUUGAAGGGCUUUGCCUCUUGCCAUGAUCAAAAGAGUGAGAAUAGAACAAAAGCAUGAAAGAUCAUGUAAUGAUCUUAUGGGAAGUGAUGGCUUCACAUAUAAAAAGAAUGAGGAUUGAAACUUGUUGAGGGUAGAAAAACAUAGACCUUGGUCAUUGUUGCAAUUAAUAGGAAGUGAUAAAGAAGGAGAGGUUCACAUAUGAAUAUAUCAUCUCUGACACCAUCUAUGAUUGUGAACACUCACUAAACUAUUGCAUGCCUAGAAGUAGAUGUUGGACAAGGAAGACAACGUAAUGAAUUGUGUUUGCUUGGCUCUGAACAAUGUUAUAUGAUUAGAGAUCCCUUAGCAUGUGACGAUUGCUUCCACCUCAUAUUAGCCAAACCUCCCGCACUAAGUAGAGAUACUACUUGUGCAUCCAUAAACCUUCAAACCAGUUUUUCCUUGAGUGUCCACCAUACCUACCUAUGGAUUGAAUAAGAUCCCUCAAGUAAGUUGUCAUCGGUGCAAGCAAUAAAAAUUGCUCUCUAAUAUGUAUGAUCUAUUAGUGUGUGGAAAAUAAGCUUUAUACGAACCUGUGAUGAGGAAGACAUAAAAGCGACGGACUGCAUAAUAAAGUUCUUUAUCACAAGGGGCAAUAUAAAGUGACGUUCCUCUACACUAAGAGGACACGCAUCCAAACCUUAAAAGCGCAUGACAACCUCUGCUUCCCUCUGCGAAGGGCCUAUCUUGUACCUUUACUUUUUGUCCCUGAAAGAGUCAUGGUGAUCUUCACCAAUUCCUUAUUUUGCCUUUGUCUUGGCUACCGUCACAUGCUAGGGAAAGNNNNNNNNNNNGUCACAUGCUAAGGAAAGAUCUAUAUUCAUAUGUCAACUUGGAGGUAAGUAUUCAUGAAUUAUUAUUGUUGACAUUACCCUUGAGGUAAGCAGUUGGGAGGCAAAACUAUAAGCCCCUAUCUUUCUCUAUGUCCAGCUGAAACUUUGAUCUCAUGAGUACCACGUGAGUUGUAGCAAUUGUAGAGAACGAAAGAAUGAUUGAGUAUGUGGAUUUGCUUUACAAGCUCUUAUUGACUCUUUCUGAUGUUGUGAUAAAUUGCAAUUGCUUCAAUGACAAAAGGCUAUCGGUUGUUACUUCUCGGUAAGGUUCUUGAUCCAUGCUUUACUUUGUGAAGGAAUUAUCACUUUAGCAUGAGAGAUUAUAUGUUGGUAUUGCUGUUCUGAUCUUGAUCAUGAUGCAUGCAUGUUCGUAUCAUGUUUUGUCGACACCGCUCUCCCUAAACAUGUGGACAUAUUUAUUGAGCUCAGCUUUCGCUUGAGGACAAGCGAGGUCUAAGCUUGGGGGAGUUGAUACGUCCAUUUUGCAUCAUGCUUUCAUGUUGAUAUUUAUCGCUUCUUGGGCUGUUAUUUCACUUCACGGUACAAUUCUUAUGCCUUUUCUCUCUUAUUUUGCAAGGUUUACAUGAAGAGGGAGAAUACCGGCAACUGGAAUUCUGGCCUGAAAGUGGAGCAAGUUUGAGAUACCUAUUCUGCGCAACUCCAAAUGCCGUGAAAAUCAACGGGGAUUUGUUUCCCGAUUUAUCAAAAAUAAUGGGCCGAAGAAGUACCAGAGGGGCACCAGGGGGUGCCCACAAGCCUGCACGGCGCGGCCACCCCCCAGGCCGCGCCAUGGGGGCUUGUGGGCAGCCCACUGGCCCACUGGCCCCCCUCUUUUGCUAUAUGGAGGGUUUCGUCCAAGAAAAAAUCAUGGAGGAGCUUUUUCAUGGUUUCGUCGCCGCCACGAGGCGGAACUUGAGCAGAACCAAUCUAGAGCUCCGGCAGGAUGAUCCUGCCGGGGAAACUUCCCUCCCAGAGGGGGAAAUCGUCGCCAUCGUCAUCACCAACACUCCUCUCACCGGAGGGGACUCGUCACCAUCAACAUCUUCAUCAACACCAUCUCAUCUCCAAACCCUAGUUCAUCACUUGUAACCAAUCUCCGUCUCGCGACUCUGAUUGGUACUUGUAAGGUUGCUAGUAGUGUUGUUUACUCCUUGUAGUUGAUGCUAGUUGGAUUAUUUGGUGGAAGAGUUUAUGUUCAGAUCCUUGAUUCUACUCAUUACCUCUCUGGUCAUGAAUAUGAUUAUGCUUUGUGAGUAGUUCGUUUUGUUCCCGAGGACAUGGGAUAAGUCAUGCUAAUAGUAGUCAUGUGAAUUUGGUAUUCGUUCGGUAAUUUGAUAUGUUGUAUGUUGUUUUUCCUCUAUUGGUGUUAUGUGAACGUCGACUACAUAACACUUCCUUGUUCAUGAUAAUCGUCUAUUGUUCAUGCUAUAAUUGUAUUAACAGGAAACAGUAAUACAUGUGUGAAUAAAUAGAUCACAAUGUGUCCCUAGCAAGCCUCUAGUUGGCUAGCUCGUUAGUCAAUAGAUGAUCAUGGUUUCUUGGUCAUGGGCAUUAGAUGUCAUUGAUAACGGGAUCACAUCAUUGGGAGAAUGAUGUGAUGGACAAGACCCAAUCCUAAGCAUAGCACUAGAUCGUAUUGUUCGUAUGCUAAAGCUUUUCUAAUGUCAAGUGUCUUUUCCUUCGACCGUGAGAUUGUGCAACUCCCGGAUACCGUAGGAGUGCUUUGGGUGUAUCAAACGUCACAACGUAACUGGGUGACUAUAAAGGUGCACUACGGGUACCUCUGAAAGUGUAUGUUGGGUUGGUACGAAUCGAGAUCGGGAUUUGUCACUCUGCGUGACGGAGAUGUAUCUCUGGGCCCACUCGGUAGAACAUCAUCAUGAGCUCAAUGUGACUAAGGAGUUAGUCACACGAUGACGUGCUAUGAAACGAGUAAAGAGACUUACCGGUAACGAGAUUGAACAAAGUAUAGGUAUACCGACGAUCGAAUCUCGGGCAAGUUCUAUACCGACAGACAAAGGGAAUUGUAUACGGGAUUGAUUGAAUCCUUACCGAAAGUUGUUCGGAGUCUCGGAUGAGACCCCGGACGUCACGAGGAGCUCCAGAAUGGUCCGGAAGUAAAGAUUGAUAUAUAGGAUGGAUGGUUUUGGACAUCGGAAAUGUUUCGGGCGUCACCGGUAAUGUACCGGGGGGUCCAUCGGGAGGGGCCACCAGCCCCAAGAGGUAGCAUGGGCCAAAAGAGGGAGGGCAAGCAGCCCAAAGUGGGCUGGUGCGCCUCCCACAAGGAGGCCCAAGGCGCAGGAGGUGGAGAAGGGGGGAAACCCUAGGCGCUGGUGGGCCUAAGGCCCACCUAAGGGUGUGCCACCCCCUCCCCCUGCCCUGGCCACCGCACCUCCCAUUUUGGGGGGGCUUCCGCACCACCUAGGGUGGUAACCCUAGGGGUGGCACCCCCCCUCCCCUCCUCCUAUAUAUAGUGGGGGUUUUGGGGCUGUUUUGACACACAAUUUUCCCUCUCCCUCGGCGCAGCCCUGCCCCCUUCUUCCUCCUCUCCCAUGGUGCUUGGCGAGCCAGGUUUUCUAUGCGUAGAUUCUAUGCACGAGUAGAACACAAAAGGUUGUGGGCGAUGAUUUUUCAAUUGCUUGCCGCUACUAGUCUUAUUCUUUUCCAGCGGUAUUGUGGGAUGAAGCGGCCCGGGCCGACAUUACACGUACGCUUACGUGAGACUAGUUUCACUAACACACAUGCACACCGUGCAUAAAGGUGGCUAGCGGGUGUCUGUCUCUCCUACUCUAGUCGGAUUGGAUUUGAUUAAAAGGGUCCUUAUGAAGGGUAAAUAGCUUUGGCAUAUCAUUGUUGUGGCUGUCACGUAGGUAAGAAUGCAUUCUUGCUAGAAACCCAAAGCAGCCACGUAAACGUUGCAACAACAAUUAGAGGACGUCUAACUUGUUUUUGCAGGGUUUGACAUGUUAUGUGAUAUGGCCAAAGUUGUAAUGUUGCAUGUAUGAUGUAUGAGAUGAUCUAUAAUAGGUUUCACGACUUGCAUGUCGAUGAGUAUAACAACCGGCAGGAGCCAUAGGAGUUGUCUUAAUUUAUUGUAUGAGAUGCAACGCCAUGUGCUUACUACUUUUACUUCAUUGCUAACGGUUAGCUAUAGUAGUAGUGAUAGUAGUAGUUGGCGUGACGACUUCAUGGAGACACGAUGAUGGAGAUCAUGAUGAUGGAGAUCAUGGUGUCACGCCGGUGACAAUGAUGAUCAUGCGAUGCCUGAAGAUGGAGAUCGAAAGAGCAAAGAUGAUAAUGGCCAUAUCAUGUCACUAUAUGAUUGCAUUGUGAUGUUUAUCAUGUUUUUCAUCUUAUUGCUUAGAACGACGGUAGCAUAAUAAGAUGAUCCCUCUUAAAAUUUCGAGAACGUAUUCCCCUAAGUGUGCACCGUUGCGAAGGAUCAUUGUCUCGAAGCACCAUGUGAUGAUCGGGUUUGAUAGAUUCUAACGUUCGCAUACAACGGGUGUAAGCCAGAUUUACACACGCGAAACACCUAGGUUGACUUGACGAGCUUAGCAUGUACAGACAUGACCUCGAAUACAAGAGACCGAAAGGUUGAACAUGAGUCGUAUGGUUGAAUACGAUCGGCAUGAAGUUGCUCACCAUGAUGACUAGUCCGUCUCACGUGAUGAUCGGACACGGGUUAGUUAACAUGGAUCAUGUAUCACUUAGAUGACUGGAGGGAUGUCGAUUUAAGUGGGAGUUCAUACUUAAUUUUAUUAAAUGAACUUAAUUGUCAUGAACUUAGUCUAAAAGUUGUCUUUAUAAAUAUUGUAGAUGGCCAACGUCAACCUCAAUUUCAACGCAUUCCUAGAGAAAAACAAGCUGAAAGAUGAUGGUAGCAACUAUGCGGACUGGGUUCGCAACUUGAAGCUCAUCCUUGAAGCAACUAAAAUGGCUUAUGUCCUUGAUGCGCCGCUAGGUGACCCUCCCGCUCCCGCAGCAGCCCAGGACAUUCUGAAUGUCUGGCAAACGCGGAGUGAUGACUACUCUCUGGUUAGGUGUGGCAUGUUAUACAGUUUGGAAACGGGGCUCCAAAGGCGUUUUGAGCAACAUGGUGCAUAUGAGAUGUUCCAAGAGCUGAAACUAGUUUUCCAAGCUUAUGCCCGUGUCGAGAGAUAUGAAGUCUCCGACAAGUUAUUUAGCUGUAAGAUGGAGGAGAACGGUUCUGUUAGUGAGCACAUACUCAAAAUGUCUGGGUUACACAGUCGUCUGACUUCACUUGGAGUCGAACUUCCGGAUGAUGCUAUAAUUGAAAGAAUCCUCCGGUCUCUCCCACCAAGCUACAAAGGUUUUGUGCUGAACUAUAACAUGCAAGGGAUGGAGAAGACCAUUCCCGAGUUGUACUCGAUGCUCAAGUCUGCAGAAGUAGAAAUCAAGAAAGAGCAUCAAGUGUUGAUGGUCAACAAGACCACUAGUUUCAAGAAGGGCAAGGGUAAGAAGAACUUCAAGAAAGACGGCAAAGCCGUUGCCGCGCCCGGUAAGCCAGAUGCCGGGAAGAAGAAAAAGAAUGGACCCAAGCCUGAGACUGAGUGCUUCUAUUGCAAGGGAAAAGGUCACUGGAAGCGGAACUGCCCCAAAUACUUAGCGGACAAGAAGGCCGGCAACGUUAAAGGUACAUGUGAUAUACAUGUUAUUGAUGUGUACCUUACCAGCGCUCGUAGUAGCUCCUGGGUAUUUGAUACCGGAGCUGUUGCUCACAUUUGCAACUCAAAGCAUGAACUGUGGAAUAAGCGGAGACUGGCCAAGGACGAGGUGACGAUGCGCGUCGGGAAUGGCUCCAAGGUCGAUGUGAUCUCCGUCGGCACGUUACCUCUACAUCUACCAUCGGGAUUAGCUUUAAACCUUAAUAAUUGUUAUUUAGUACCAGCUUUGAGCAUGAAUAUUGUAUCAGGGUCUUCCUUAAUGCGAGACGGCUACUCAUUUAAGUCAGAUAAUAAUGGUUGUUCUAUUUAUAUGAGUGAUAUGUUUUAUGGUCAUGCUCCGCCGGUGAAUGGUUUAUUCUUGAUGAAUCUCGAUCGUGAUGUUACACAUAUUCAUAGUGUGAGUACCAAAAGAUGUAAAGUUGAUAAUGAUAGUCCCACAUACUUGUGGCACUGCCGCCUUGGUCAUAUCGGUGUUAAGCGCAUGAAGAAGCUCCAUACUGAUGGACUAUUAGAGUCUCUUGACUUUGAAUCAUUUGACACAUGCGAACUGUGCCUCAUGGGCAAGAUGACUAAGACUCCAUUCUCAGGAAUAAUGGAGAGAGCAACCAACUUAUUGGAAAUAAUACAUACUGAUGUGUGUGGUCCAAUGAACGUUGAAGCUCGCGGUGGCUAUCGUUAUGUUCUCACUCUCACCGAUGAUUUGAGUAGGUAUGGGUAUAUCUACUUGAUGAAGCACAAAUCUGAGACGUUUGAAAAGUUCAAGGAUUUUCAGAGUGAGGUCGAGAAUCAACAUGACAGAAAAAUUAAGUGUCUACGAUCUGAUCGUGGAGGAGAAUAUUUGAGUCACGAGUUUGGCACACACCUAAGGAAGUGUGGAAUCGUUUCACAACUGACGCUGCCUGGCACACCACAACGCAAUGGAGUGUCUGAACGUCGUAAUCGCAUUUAUUAGAUAUGGUACGAUCUGUGAUGUCUCUUACCGACUUACUGCUAUCAUUUUGGGGAUACGCAUUAGAAACUGCAACAUUCACUUUAAAUAGGGCACCGUCUAAAUCCGUUGAGACGACACUGUAUGAACUAUGGUUUGGCAAGAAACCUAAGUUGUCGUUUCUUAAAGUUUGGGGCUGAGAUGCUUAUGUGAAGAAACUUCAACCAGAAAAGCUCGAACCCAAAGCGGAGAAAUGUGUAUUCAUAGGAUACCCUAAGGAAACUAUUGGGUAUACCUUCUAUCUUAGAUCCGAAGGUGAAACCUUUGUUGCCAAGAACGGAUCCUUUCUAGAGAAAGAGUUUAUCCCGAAAGAAGUAAGUGGGAGGAAGGUAGAACUUGAUGAGGUAAUUACACCCCUUCUCGAACAGGAAAGUAGCGCAGCGCGGGAAAUUGUUCCUGUGGCGCCUGCACCAACUAAAGAGGAAGUUAAUGAUACUGAUGAUGAAGCUUCGGAUCAAGUUACUACUGAAGCACGAAGGUCCACAAGGGCACACUCCGCACCAGAGUGGUACGACAACCCUGUGAUGGAAAUCAUGUUGUUAGACAACGGUGAACCUUCGAACUAUGAAGAAGCGAUGGCGGGCCCAGAUUCCAACAAAUGGCUUGAAGCUAUGAAAUCCGAGAUAGGAUCCAUGUAUGAGAACAAAGUAUGGACUUUGGUGGACUUUCCCGAUGACCGACGAGCCAUAGAAAAUAAAUGGAUCUUCAAGAAGAAGACUGAUGCAAACGGUAAUGUAACCGUUUAUAAAGCUCGACUUGUCGCAAAGGGUUUUCGACAAAUUCAAGGAAUUGACUACGAAAAGACUUUCUCUCCCGUAGCGAAGCUAAAAUCAGUCUGAAUCAUGUUAGCAAUUGCCGCCUUUUAUGAUUAUGAAAUUUGGCAAAUGGAUGUCAAAACAACGUUCCUUAACGGGAACCUUAAGGAAGGGUUGUAUAUGAUGCAACCAGAAGGUUUUGUCGAUCCUAAGGAUGCUAACAAAGUGUGCAAGCUCCAGCGCUCCAUCUAAGGGCUGGUGCAAGCAUCUCGGAGUUGGAACAUUCGCUUUAAUGAGGUGAUUAAAGCGUUUGGGUCCAUACAGGUUUACGGAGAAGCCUGUCUGUACAAGAAAGUGAGUGGGAGCUCUGUAGCUUUCCUCAUACUGUAUGUGGAUGACAUAUUAUUGAUGGGGAAUAAUAUAGAGAUGUUGGAGAGCAUAAAGGCCUAUUUGAACAAGAGUUUUUCAAUGAAGGACCUUGGAGAAGCUGCAUACAUAUUAGGCAUCAAGAUCUAUAGAGAUAGAUCGAGGCACCUCAUAGGUCUUUCGCAAAGUACAUACCUUGACAAGAUAUUGAAGAAGUUCAAUAUUUAAAACUCAAAGAAAGGGUUCUUGCCAGUUUUGCAAGGUAUGAGAUUGAGUAAGUGUGACAGCCCGAUGCCGACGUCCCAGAAGAUUCCCCCUUUAUUCCGUUUCUGUCGUGUGGCUAUUUUAUUUUGUUGGUUGCAUCAUCAUUUAGUUUGCAUCGUCACAUCAUGCAUGGCAUCUUGCAUCGUCUGUCGCAUGUGGUGUAUUGAGUGUUGUGCUUCGAGUGAUCACCGAGUCGUAGAGCGAUAGUAGUUCCCCCCCUCUCUCCUCUUAUUUCAUUUUGUGGUUUUGCUAAAGUUCCGUUUUAACCCCUAUUUUAAAAAAAAUAAAGAUUCGUCUUUUUUUAAAGAAAAUCAUUUUAUUAAAUGUGGGGGCAACCCCUAGGUUUUGCUUUAUUUUUCCCCUUUGUUAUUUUUAAAAAAACUAGAGACCCUUUUAUUUAUAAAAGGGGUUUGGUUUUAUUCUUUUGUAAGAAAAGGGUUUUAUUUUAUUCUCUUGUUAAAAGGGUUUUAUUUUAAUUCUUAAAAAAAGGUUUCAUUUUUUUAUUUUGUUUAAAAAUGCCCAAGCUAUUUUAUAGUUGGGGUAUAUUUUUUCCAAAGGAGACAAAAGCGUUUUUUUUAAUUUUGUUAAAGGCUUUUCUUUUACUUGGGUUUUCUAUUUAGAAAUAAUAAUAAAAUAGAGGGAGGGAGAGAGCGAGCCCAGCCAGGCCAGGCCCAAGUUUCCUGCCUCACCUAGCGCCAGGAGCCCCCUCGUCCCUCGUCUCUCAUCUUCCCCUCGUGCGCCGCUCUGCCCGAUUCCCCUAGCGACAGGAGAGAGGUCGCUCGAUCCCUCCUCCCAUCUCCCUCCUUGAGCCCGUGCGCCAUCGUCCCUUCCUNNNNNNNNNNNNNNNNNNNNCCCCGUCCGCCAUCGUCCCUCCCCCCCCCCGCCAUGGCUGCUCUCCCCGCGCUGCCCUGCCGAGCCGAGGUGCCCGAGCGCCCACCUGCAGGUGCCCCGCGCCCCGCGCCUCCCCGUCGCCGCGCCCGCCCUGGUCGCCGCGCCGUGGCCUCCCGGUCGUCCGUGUCCGCGGCUCCCCUCUACGCGCCGCCGCCCUCCUGCCCGAGCCGCCGUCCCCGUGCGCCUCCGCGGCGCCGCCCCGUCAAGCUCCCGCGUCAUGGCCUUGCCGCGCCGCCUCGUCCAGCGCCAGGGCCCCUCGCCUCCUCGUGCUGGAGCACCGCCCUGCCAUGGCCCGGUCUCCUCCUCCUUGUUGCGCCUGCUGCCGCCGAUCCCCCCCGCGCCGCGAUGCUGUUUUGCUGCUGCUUGCCGAUUUUUGCUUGCUAUGUUGUUGUCUGUGUCGUUGGUUCUGUAGUUGUCGUGUUGUUGCGUGCCGUUUCGCUGUAGCUGUCGCUCGCUGUAGAUGCGUGGCUGGUGCAUGUUACUGCUUGCUGCCGCAUGUGCAUGUGCCGCUGGCCGAUGCUCUAGCGGCUGCUAGAUGGUGUUGCUUGCUGCCAGCUAGCUGCUGUUGUUGCCUGCCUGGCUGCUGCGUGCCAUGGCUUGCUAGCUGCUACUAAGUAGCGUAGUGCUUGCCGCUGCCUUGCUGCUGUUGCUAGUUGAUUAGUUACUGUGGCUGCUAGCCGAUAGUAGAUGUUGUAGCUUUGCAAGCCUGCGCCAUUGCUGUUGUUAGAUGGCAUGCCAUUAGCUGUUGCUGCUUGUGGUUGCCUGCCGUAGCUUGCCGUUAGAUGUUAGUUGCUAGCUGUUGCUGCUGUCGCUGAUUGCCGUCGCCGAAGACCGCAUGCGCCAUCCCCGCCACCGUGGCCCGACGACAAGUUCACGAGUACCACUACUCCCACGACAUCCUCGACGACCCCGGAAACGAGUUCGACUUUCGUCGCCGAAGACCGUGAACCACGACGCCGAGCGAACGACUACCGUCGACGAGACCGAGCACCUCGACUUCCACGACGAUCGUUGUUCUCCUUCACCGGACCGAACCGCUCCGAUAUGCACGCUUCGAAGGUAUACCGAUGAAACGUUGUCGUGACCGUGUGCAUGUGAUGUAUGAGUUGUAUGUAUGUUUGCACCAUAUGUUGCCCGUUGCACAUGUACUUCUUUUGUUGUGCCUCGACACAUGGGAACCCGGUAACCGGGAUCACCCCAUUCUUUAUUUACCGUCCCCGCACGCGCUCCCUAUUCGUUGGCACGGUAUCUCGACGAGUUGUCGUGAUAGGAACGUUGUCGUGGCAUCGUUUCCGGUUUUCCUCCAUGGUUGCCUCUCGCUCGCCGUGGCGACACCUGUUUCUUUCCCUUCUUGCCCGUGUUAUGAACUCGCAUGCAUGACGCAUUCAUGGCAUAUACAUAUUGUGUUGCAUGCCUCUUGUGCCGUAGCUCCGCUCUUUGCUCCGCGUGUUAACCGUCUAGGAUGUCGUGUANNNNNNNNNNNNNNNNNNNNNGUGUAGGACCAUCGCUUCACCCUUGCCAUGACAACAACAUUUAAUAUUGCAUGUUAAAUAAUCGGGAGUGAAUUAAAUAAUUAAUCGUGGAGUUUCGUCGAUAUGCAACCCAUUGCAUAUCGAGCUUCACUUAAUGCGUAGAGUUUGCUUGAGGUGAAUUGCCAUGUCAUCCCUUGCAUCGUUGAACUGAUCAUGCAUCAUAUUAGGUUGUGCAUCAUGCUGUGCAUCGUGUGGUGAAUAUUUGUGUUGAUGUUUGUUUCCGGUUUGCUCCAUUCCGAUAGAGUUCCGCAAGCGUGUCGGAAUGUGAGGACCCGUUCGACUACGUUGGUUCGCCGACUUCAUGGAGUCAUUCUUCUUCCAAGCGGGGUCUCAGACAAGAUGACCAUUUCCCCAGAUACCAUUACUAUCAUUGCCCUGCUAGUUUUAUCGUUUCUAUCGAUUAUGUCUCGUUGCCUACCACAUGUUAAAUAUCAGCCUCUCAACAAUGCCAUGAUAACCUUAAACCUGUUCGACCUAGCAAACCACUGAUUGGCUAUGUUACUGCUUGCUUAACCUUGUUGUUAGCGUUGCUAGUUGCAGGUGCAGAUGCUUCCAUGUGAUAACAUGGGUUCCUUGUCUUAUCACCAUAUUAAUGCUAUUUAAUUUAAUGGACCUAUAUACUUGGUAAAAGGUGGAAGGCUCGGCCUUUCUAGCCUGGUGUUUUGUUCCACCUUUGCCCCCUUAGUUUUCGGCUACCAGUGUUAUGUUCCAUAAUUGAGCGCUCCUAACACGUUCGGGGUUGUUAUGGGGACCCCCUUGAUAAUUCGUUUUAGAUUAAAGCUGGUCUGGCAAGGCCCAACUUUGGUACUACAUUUGCCUAAUCACUAAUGAACUGCAUAGGGAGUAAUUAACCCGAGGAUAAUUUAAUCAACCCCCGGGCCAGUGCUCCUCAUGAGUGUUGGUCCAAAUUGGCAGACUACGGGGCCACCGCGGGGCAACACGAGGUUUGGUUUCUCCUAGUGUGACCCAUCCGUCGUGUCCUGAGAACGAGGUACGCGACUCCUAUCGGGAUCGUCGACACGUCGGGCGGCCUUGCUGGAUUAGUUUUACCUUUGACGAGAUAUCUUGUGCAUCGGGAUUCCGGUGAUGCUUUGGGUAAUCUCAGAGUUGAGGUUUUCCACUAGGGAAUCCGACGAGAUCGCGAGUUUCGUGAUUGAGGAUUUCUAUGCGGCUUGUGGUAAUUUGUGAUGGACUAGUUGGAGCACCCUUGCAGGGUUAAAUCUUUUCGGAAAGCCGUGCCCACGAUUAUGUGGCAACGUGGAUAUUUUGUUUAACACUGGUUCUAGAUAACUCGAAGUUAAUUAAUUAAAAUAUGCCAACUGUGUGCGUAACCGUGACUGCCUCUUUCUAGAUAACUCGAAGGGUUACAUGACGCGAGCGCAUUGAUUGUUCAUUUGGAGUUGCUUCUUCUUCUUCUUCUUCAUCGAUCUAGGAUGGGUUCCAGGCCGGCAGCCUGGGAUAGCAAGGAUGGACGUCGUUCUUCUUUUUCUCGUUUGUUUUCGUCCGUAGCCGGACCCUGCUCUUACUCUUGAUGAUUAUGUAAUGUACUGAUGUGACUCUGAUGUAGCUUGUGGCGAGUGUAAGCCAACUCGUUAUAUAUCUCUUCUUUUCAGUACAUGUACUUGUAACGAUAUCCAUUCUUGCGACACGACGAGAUGCGCUUCUAUCCCUGACGAGGCCUUCGUGCCAAAUUGAGGAUAGGGUCACAUCUUGGGCGUGACAGUAAGACUAAGUCACCGACCACGACAGCAAAUAGAGAGAAGAUGAGUACUGUCCCCUACGCUUCAGCCGUAGGCUCUCUAAUGUAUGCCAUGCUGUGUACCAGACCUGAUAUAAACCUUGCCAUAAGUUUGGUAGGGAGGUACCAAAGUGAUCCAGGUAUGGAACACUGGACGGCGGUCAAGAAUAUCCUUAAGUACCUGAAGAGGACUAAGGAGAUGUUUCUCGUUUAUGGAGGUGACGAAGAGCUCGUCGUAAAGGGUUACGUCGUCGCUAGAUUCGACACAGAUCCGGAUGACUCUAAGUCACAGACCGGAUACGUAUAUGUUUUGGAUGGUGGGGCAGUGAGCUGGUGCAGCAGCAAGCAAGAAGUCGUGGCAACAUCUACAUGUGAAGCGGAGUACAUAGCUGCUUCAGAAGCGGCUCAUGAAGGAAUUUGGAUGAAGGAGGUCAUCACCGACCUUGGAGUGGUUCCAAGCGCGUCGGGUCCAAUGACGCUCAUGCAUGCCGCAGAUUAUACGCUCUUCUCUGAUAACACUGGGGCCAUUGCCAUAGCCAAGGAGCCUAGGUUUCACCGGAAGACCAAGCACAUCAAACACCGCUACAACUCCAUCCAGGACCAUGUCCAGAGUGGAGUAAUAGAGAUUUGUAAAGUACAUACGGAUCUGAAUGUCGCAAACCCGUUGACUAAACCUCUUCCACGAGCAAAACAUGAUCAACACCAUAAUGUUAUGGGUGUUCGAUACAUCACAAUGUAACUAGAUUAUUGACUCUAGUGCAAGUGGGAGACUCUUGGAAAUAUGCCCUAGAGGCAAUAAUAAAAUGGUUAUUAUCAUAUUUCCUUGUUCAUGAUAAUCGUCUAUUGUUCAUGCUAUAAUUGUAUUAACAGGAAACAGUAAUACAUGUGUGAAUAAAUAGAUCACAAUGUGUCCCUAGCAAGCCUCUAGUUGGCUAGCUCGUUAGUCAAUAGAUGAUCAUGGUUUCCUGGUCAUGGGCAUUAGAUGUCAUUGAUAACGGGAUCACAUCAUUGGGAGAAUGAUGUGAUGGACAAGACCCAAUCCUAAGCAUAGCACUAGAUCGUAUUGUUCGUAUGCUAAAGCUUUUCUAAUGUCAAGUGUCUUUUCCUUCGACCGUGAGAUUGUGCAACUCCCGGAUACCGUAGGAGUGCUUUGGGUGUAUCAAACGUCACCACGUAACUGGGUGACUAUAAAGGUGCACUACGGGUACCUCUGAAAGUGUAUGUUGGGUUGGUACGAAUCGAGAUCGGGAUUUGUCACUCUGCGUGACGGAGAUGUAUCUCUGGGCCCACUCGGUAGAACAUCAUCAUGAGCUCAAUGUGACUAAGGAGUUAGUCACACGAUGACGUGCUACAGAACGAGUAAAGAGACUUAUUAGUAACGAGAUUGAACAAGGUAUAGGUAUACCGACGAUCGAAUCUCGGGCAAGUUCUAUACCGACAGACAAAGGGAAUUGUAUACGGGAUUGAUUGAAUCCUUGACAUCGUGGUUCAUCCGAUGAGAUCAUCGUGGAACAAGUGGGAGCCACCAUGGGUAUCCAGACCCCGCUGAUGGUUAUUGGCCGGAGAGGUGUCUCGGUCAUGUCUGCCUGUCUCCCGAACCCGUAGGGUCUACACACUUAAGGUUCGAUGACGCUAGGGUUAUAGGGAAUUGUUAUACGAGGUUGCCGAAAUUUGUUCAGAGUCCCGGAUGAGAUCCCGGACGUCAUGAGGAGCUCCGGAAUGGUCCGGAGGUAAGGAUUGAUAUAUAGGAUGGAUGGUUUUGGACACCGGAAAUGUUUCGGGCGUCACCGGUAAUGUACCGGGACCACCGGAAAUGGUCCCGGGGGUCCAUCGGGAGGGGCCACCAGCCCCAAGAGGUAGCAUGGGCCAAAAGAGGGAGGGAAACCAGCCCAAAGUGGGCUGGUGCGCCUCCCACAAGGAGGCCCAAGGCGCAGGAGGUGGAGAAGGGGGGAAACCCUAGGCGCUGGUGGGCCUAAGGGGUGCGCCACCCCCUCCCAGUGCCGUGGCCGCCGCACCUCCCAUCUGGGGGGCUGUGCCGCACCACCUACGGUGGGAACCCUAGGGGUGGCACCCCCCUCCCCUCCUCCUAUAUAUAGUGGGGGGUUUUGGGGCUGUUUUGACACACAAUUUGCCCUCUCCCUCGAUGCAGCCCUGCCCCCCUUCUUCCUCCUCUCCCAUGGUGCUUGGCGAAGUCCUGCCGGGAGACCUCGUCUCUCCAUCGACACCACGCCGUCGUGCUGCCGGAGAUCUUCCCCAGCCUCUCCCUCCUCGUUGAUGGAUCAAGGUGCGGGAGACGUCACCGGGUUGCACGUGUGUUGAACGCGGAGGUGCCGUGGUUCGGCACUAGAUCGGAAUCACACCACGAUCUGAAUCGCCGCGAGUACGACUCCAUCAACCGUGUUCUAGCAACGCUUCCGCUUAGCGAUCUUCAAAGGUAUGAAGAUGCACUCACCCCUCUCUCAUUGCUGGUUUCUCCAUAGGAAGAUCUGAAUAUGGCGUAGGAUUUUUUUUGAAUUUAUGCUACGUUACCCAACAACAAUCACUUGUUACCGACAAUUUCAAUGCUUGCAGAUUUUAGCUUGCUAAAAACCACUUGUGAGAUCCUUCUGCUCCUCGUUGGGUUCGACACUCUUACUUAUCGAAAGGACUACGAUUGAUCCCCUAUACUUAUGGGUCAUCAAUCGCCGUCCAGUGAUCCACUCCUGGAUUACUUUGAAACCUGCCUGCCAUACUUAUGGCCAACAUUGCAUACAUGAUAGAACCUACGGCUGAAGCAUACGGGACGGUACUCAUCUUUUCUCUAUCUGCCUCAGUUGCUGGGCACUGAGUCUUACUCAACUUUAUACCUUGUAAUACUGGCAAGAACCCCUUCUUGGACUGUUCCAUUUUGAACUUCUUCAAAACUUUAUCAAGGUAUGUGCUUUGUGAAAGUCCUAUCAGGCGCCUCGAUCUAUCCCUAUAGAUCUUAAUGCCUAGAAUGUAAGAAGCUUCUCCUAGGUCCUUCAUUGAGAAACUUUUAUUCAAGUAAUCCUUUACGCUAUCCAAAAACUCCACGUUGUUUCCAAUCAGCAAUAUGCCAUCCACAUAUAAUAUUAGAAACGCCACAGAGCUCCCACUCACUUUCUUGUAAAUACAAGAUUCUCCAACAACUUGUAUAAACCCAAAUGCUUUGAUCACCCCAUCAAAGCGCUUAUUCCAACUUCGAGAUGGUUGCACCAGUCCAUAAAUGGAUUGCUGGAGCUUGCAUACUUUGUUAGCAUUCUUUGGAUCGACAAAACCUUCGGGUUGCAUCAUAUACAACUCUUCCUUAAGAAAACCGUUAAGGAACGCCGUUUUGACAUCCAUCUGCCAGAUUUCAUAAUCGAAAAAUGCAGUUAUUGCUAACAUGAUUCAGACGGACUUAAGCAUUGCUACCGAUGAGAACGUCUCAUCGUAGUCAACUCCUUGAACUUGUGAAAAACCCUUUGCCACAAGUCGAGCUUUAUAAACAGUCACAUUACCGUCUGCGUCCGUCUUCUUCUUAAAGAUCCAUUUGUUCUGAAUAGCCUUGCGACCUUAAGGUAAUACUUCCAAAGUCCACACUUUGUUUUCAUACAUAGAUCCUAUCGCGGACUUCAUGGCCUCCAGCCAUUUGUUGGAAUCCGGGCCCACCAUUGCUUCUUCAUAAUUCGCAGGUUCAUUGUUGUCUAACAACAUGAUUGAUAAGACAGGAUUACCGUACCACUCAGGUGCAGUAUGUGAUCUUGUCGACCUGCGAGGUCCGACAGUAACUUGAUCCGAAGCUGCAUGAUCAUCAUCAUUGACUUCCUCCUCAACCGGCGUCGCUUCGACACAGGUUUCCCCCUGCCCUGUGCCACCAUCUAGAGGGAGUAGCGGUUCUACAACCUCAUCAAGUUAUAUCUUCCUCCCACUCAAUUCUUUCGAUAGAAACUCCUUCUCAAGAAAAGCUUCGUUCUUAGCAACAAACACUUUGCCCUCGGAUCUGAGAUAGAGGGUGUACCCAACUGUCUCCUUUGGGUAACCUAUGAAGACACACUUUUCCGCUUUGGGUUCCAGCUUUUUAGGCUGAAGCUUUUUGACAUAAGCAUCACAUCCCCAAACUUUAAGAAACGAUAACUUUGGCCUCUUGCCAUACCACAGCUCGUAUGGUGUCGUCUCAACGGAUUUUGAUGGUGCCAUAUUUAAAGUGAAUGCAACUGUCUCCAAUGCAUAACCCCAAAAUGAUAACAGCAAAUCGGUAAGAGACAUCAUAGAUCGCACCAUUUCUAACAAAGUACGAUUACAACAUUCGGACACACCAUUACGCUGUGGUGUUCCAGGCGGUGUUAACUGUGAAACGAUUCCACAUAUUCUCAAGUGAGCACCAAACUAGAAACUCAGAUAUUCACCCCCACGAUCAGGCCGUAGGAACUUGAUCUUCUUGUUACGAUGAUUUUCAACUUCACUCUGAAAUUGCUUGAGCUUUCAAACGUUUCAGACUUGUGCUUCAUUAAGUAGAUAUAACCAUACUUACUCAAAUCGUCAGUGAAGGUGAGAAAAUAACGAUAUCUGCCGCGCGUCUCCACACUCAUUGGACCGCACACAUCGGUAUGUAUGAUCUCCAACAAGUCACUUGCACGCUCCAUUGUUCCGGAGAACGGAGUCUUAGUCAUCUUGCCCAUGAGGCAUGGUUCACACGUGUCAAGUGACUCCAAAAGUCCAUUGGAAUGGAGUUUCUUCAUGCGCUUUACACCAAUAUGACCUAAGCGGCAGUGCCACAAGAACGUGGCGUUAUCAUUGUUAACUCUACAUCUUUUGGUCUUAGUGUUAUGUAUAUGUGUAUCAUCACAAUCAAGAUUCAAUAUGAACAAUCCUCUCACAUUGGGUGCAUGACCAUAAAAGAUAUUACUCAUAGAAAUAGAACAACCAUUAUCCUCAGACUUAAACGAGUAACCGUCUCGCAAUAAACAAGAUCCAUAUAUAAUGUUCAUGCUUAACGCAUGAGCUGAAUAACAAUUAUUUAAGUUCAUAACUAAUCCUGAUGGUAAUUGAAGUGAGACUGUGCCGACGGCGAUUGCAUCAACCUUGGAACCAUUUCCCAUACGCAUCGUCACUUCAUCCUUCGCUAGCCUUCGUUUAUUCCGCAGUUCCUGCUUCGAGUUGCAAAUAUGAGCAACAUAACCAGUAUAAAAUACCCAGGCACUACUACGAGAGUUGGUUAAGUACACAUCAAUAACAUGUAUAUCACAUAUACCUCAUUUUUCCUUGGCCGCCUUCUUAUCAGCCAAAUACUUGGGGCAGUUGCGCUUCCAGUGACCCAUCCCCUUGCAAUAAUAACACUCUGUUUCUGGCUUAGGUCCAGCCUUGGGUUUCUUCAUCGGAUUGGCAACAGGUUUGCCGCUCUUCUUGGAGUUACCCUUCUUGCCUUUACCGUUUCUCUUGAAACCAGUGGUCUUAUUGACCAUCAACACUUGAUACUCUUUCCGAAGUUCUGACUCUGUGACUUUCAGCAUCGCGAAUAACUCGUCGGGUGACUUGUUCAUCCCUUGCAUGUUAUAGUUCAACACAAAACCCUUAUAGCUAGGUGGCAGUGAUUGAAGAAUUAUGUCAGUGAUAGCCUCUUGCGGGAGUUCAAUCCCCAGCUCAGGUAGACGGUUUGAGUACCCGGACAUUUUGAGCACAUGUUCACUGACAGACGAAUUCUCCUCCAUGUUGCAAGCAUAGAAUUUAUCGGAGGUCUCAUACCUCUCGAUCCAGGCGUUCUUCUGAAAGAUAAACUUCAACUCCUGGAACAUCUUAUAUGCUCCAUGACGCUCAAAGCGACGUUGAAGUCUCGGUUCUAAGCCAUAUAAGACUGCACAUUGAACUACUAAGUAGUCCUCCUUACAUGUUAACCAGGCAUUCAAAACAUCUUGGCUAGACGUAGCGGGUGGUUCAUCUCCUAGCGCUGCAUUAAGGACAUAAUCCUUAUUUCCAACUUGCAGGAGCAUCUUUAGAUUACGAGCCCAGUCUACAAAGUUGCUUCCAUCAUCUUUCAACUUAGCUUUCUCUAGGAACGUAUUAAAAUUCAGGGUAGCUACUGCAUGAGCCAUUGAUCUACAACAUAAAAUAUUGUAAAGUGGACUUAGACUAUGUUCAAUAUAAUUAGAGUUUAACUAAUCAAAUUACUGAUAAACUCCCACUCAAAAAAUACAUCCCUCUAGUCAUUUGAGUGGUACAUGAUCCAAAUCCACUAACUCAAGUCCGAUCAUCACGUGAGUUGAGUAUAAUUUCAGUGGUAAACAUCUCUAUGUUAAUCAUAUCAACUAUACGAUUCAUGCUCGACCUUUCGGUCUCUUGUGUUCUGAGGCCAUGUCUGCACAUGCUAGGCUCGUCAAGUUUAACCCGAGUGUUCCGCGUGUGCAACUGUUUUGCACCCGUUGUAUGUGAACGUUGAGUCUAUCACACCCAAUCAUCACGUGGUGUCUCGAAACGACGAACUGUCACAACGGUGCAUAGUCGAGGAGAACACAAUUUCAUCUUUAAAUUUUAGCGAGAGAUCACCUUAUAAUGCUACCGUCGUUCUAAGCAAAACAAGGUGCAUAAAAGGAUUAACAUCACAUGCAAUUCAUAAGUGACAUGAUAUGGCCAUGAUCUCAUGCUUCUUGAUCUCCAUCACCAAAGCACCGGCAUGAUCUUCUUGUCACCGGCGCCACACCAUGAUCUCCAUCAUCGCGUGCUAUCUAUGCUAUUACUACUAAAGCUACCACCUAGCGAUAUAGUAAACGCAUCUGCAAACACAAACAUUAGUUUAAAGAGAACCCUAUGGCUCCCGCCGGUUGCCGUAGCAUCGACGUCCAAGUCGAUAUUAACUAUUACAACAUGAUCAUCUCAUACAUCCAAUAUAUCACAUCAUGUAGUUGGCCAUAUCAUAUCACAAGCAUACCCUACAAAAUCAAGUUAGACGUCCUUUAUUUUGUUGUUGCAUGUUUUACGUGGUUGUCAUGGGUAUCUAGUAUGAUCGCAUCUUAUUUACGCAAACACCACAACGGUGAUGUGCAAAUUGCUAUUUACCCUCUCUUCAAGGACCGCCUCGGUCAAAUCCAAUUCAACUAAAGUCUAAGAAACAGGCACCCGCCAGUCAUCUUUAUGCAACGGGUUGCAUGUUAGUCGAUGAAACUAGUCUCUCGUAAGCGUAUGAGUAAUGUCGGUCCGGGCCGCUUCAAUCCAACAAUACCGCUGAAUCAAGAAAAGACUAAGGAGGGCAGCAAAUCGAACAUCAACGCCCACAAAACCUUUUGUGUUCUACUCGAGAUAACAUCUACGCAUGAACCAAGCUCAUGAUGCCACUGUUGGGGAACGUUGCAUGGGAAACAAAAAAAUUCCUACGCACACGAAGACCUAUCAUGGUGAUGUUCAUUUACGAGAGGAGAUUAUAUCUACAUACCCUUGUAGAUUGCUAAGCGGGAAGCGUUAAGAAACGCGAUUGAUGUAGUGGUACAGCUUCGUGAUUCAAAUCACCGUCGUCCCACGAUCCGUUCCGAUCUAGCGCCGAACGGCCGGCACCUCCGCGUUCGGCACACGUACAGCUCGAUGACGAUCUCGACCUUCUUGAUCCAGCAAGAGAGACGGAGAAGUAGAUGAGUUCUCCGAUAGCGUGACGACGCGUCGGUGGUGGUGAUGAUCUACUCCUGUAGGGCUCCACCCGAGCUCCGCAGAAAUCCGAUCUAGAGGAGGAACUACGUGGUAUAGGUUUGAGUUGCACGUGGAAAAAGUUGUAUCUCAAAAGCCCUAAAACCACCGGUACAUAUAGGAGGAGAGGAGGGGCUAGCCUUGGGGCUCAAGAGAGCCCCAAGGGCAUCGGCCAAGGGGAGGAGGUGGACUCCCACCCCAAUUCGGUUUGGGGGAAGGAGUCCACUCCUUCCUUCCCACCUCCCUCUUUCCUUUGGUUUUUUUACUUGUGGCGCCAUAGCCCUCUUGGGCUGGCUCUACCAGCCAACUAAGGGCUGGUGCGCCACCCUAGGGUUACUGGGCUCACUCCCGGGUGAGUGGGCCCCUCCCGGUGAACACCCGAAACCCAUUCAUCACUCCCGGUACAGUGUCGGUAAUGCCCGAAAAACUUUCCGGUGACCAAAUGAAACCAUCCUAUAUAUCAAUCUUCGUUUCCGGACCAUUCCGGAAACCCUCGUGACAUCCGUGAUCUCAUCCAGGACUCCGAACAACCUUCGGUCACCAACACAUAUAACUCAACUAUACUAAAAUGUCACCGAACCUUAAGUGUGCAGACCCUGCGGGUUCGAGAACUAUGUAGACAUGACCCGGGACACUCCUCGGUCAAUAUCCAAUAGCGGGACAUGGAUGUCCAUAUUGGAUCCUACAUAUUCUACAAAGAUCUUAUCGGUUGAACCUCUGUGCCAAGGAUUCAUAUAAUCCCGUAUAACAUUCCCUUUGUCCUGCGUUAUGUUACUUGCCCGAGAUUUGACCGUCGGUAUCCCUAUACCUAUUUUAAUCUCAUUACUGGCAAGUCUUUUUACUCGUUCCGUAAUACAAGAUCCCGUGACUAACACAUUUGACACAUUGCUUGUAAGGCUUGUUUGUGAUGUUGUAUUACCGAGUGGGCCCCGAGAUACCUCUCCGUCACACGGAGUGAAAAAUCCCAGUCUUGAUCCAUGCUAACUCAACGGACACCUUCGGGGAUACCUGUAGAGCACCUUUAUAGUCACCCAGUUACGUUGUGACGUUUGAUACACACAAGGCAUUCCUCCGGUGUCAGUGAGUUACAUGAUCUCAUGGUCAUAGGAAUGAAUAAUUGACACGCAGAAAACAAUAGCAACAAAAUGACACGAUCACAUGCUACGUUCAUGGUUUGAGUCUAGUCCAUCACAUGAUUCUCCUAAUGAUGUGAUCCAGUUAUCAAGUGACAACACUUACAUAUGGUCAGAAAACCUUAAUCAUCCUUGAUCAACUGGCUAGCCAACUAGAGGCUUGCUAGGGACAUUGUUUUGUUUAUAUAUCCACACAUGUGUAUAUGUUUUCAUUCAAUAAAAUUAUAGCAUGGAUAAUAAACGAUUAUAUUGAAACAAGAAAUAUAAUAAUAACUAUUUUAUCAUUGCCUCUAGGGCAUAUUUCCAACAUCUCCGGUGUAUCUUUUGUCUUCCCAUAAACGCCCAAGAAGCCUAGCAGGUUCACACAAAGAUUCUUCGUCAUGUGCAUCACGUCAAUUGCAGAGCAUACCUAUAGGUCUUUCCAAUAGGGUAGGUCCUAAAAUAUAGAUUUCUUCUUCCACAUGGGUGCGUGUCCAUCAGCGUCAUUUGGAACAGACUGUCUGUCAUGACCCCUUCCAAAGAUUACUUUAAAUCCUUCACCAUACCAAGUACAUCAUCACCAGUACGGUGGCGAUGCUUCUCCAGGUGAUCCGCCUCACCUUUGAAAUACUUGCCUUUCUUUCUUACGGGAGGCCUGCUCGAAAGAAAUCGAUGAUGUCCCAGGUACACAUCCUUCUUACAAUUAUCCAAAUAUAUACUGUCGGUAUCAUCCAAACAAUGCGUGCAUGCACGACAUCCCUUGUUUUCCUGUCCUGAAAGGUUACUGAGAGCAGGCCAAUCAUUGAUGGUCACAAAUAGCAAUGCAUGUAGGUCAAAUUCCUCCUGUCUGUGCUCAUCCCACUCACGUACACCUUUUUCAUUCCACGGUUGUAGGAGUUCUUCAACCAAUGGCUUUAGAUACACAUCAAUGUCGUUGCCGGGUUGCUUAGGGCCUUGGAUGAGCACUGGAAUCAUAACGUACUUUCGCUUCAUGCACAACCAAGGAGGAAGGUUAUACAUACAUAUAGUCAGAGGCUAGGUGCUAUGAUUGUUGCUUUGCUCCUCAAAAGGAUUAAUGCCAUCUGCGCUUAGAACAAACCAUACGUUCCUUGCGUCAGAUGCAAAGUCCUGCCACUUUCUCUUUAUUUUUCUCCACUACGACCCGUCAGCGGGUACUCUCAGCUUCCCGUCUUUCUUACGGUCUUCCCAUCGCAUCAACUCGGCAUGCUCUUUGUUUUGGAACAAACGUUUCAACCGUGGUAUUAUAGGAGCAUACCACAUCACCUUGGCAGGAAUCUUCUUCCUGGGGCACUCGCCCUCGACAUCACCAGGUUCAUCGCGGCUUAUCUUAUAGCGCAUUUCACCGCAUAUCGGGCAUGCAUUCAAAUCCUCCGACGGCGGCGAGGAAAGAAGUUAGAAAGUUCUUGCUUAUAUGGUCGACGUCCCAUGUGUCGAUCCAAGUGUAACUUGUCUUGCAUGUUUUGUUUUGGCCGGCAUGAAUGACAUACAGUUGUAAGGGUUGUUUUUUGUCGUGGAUCACGGGGCACACGAAUAAAUUAGCGGGUUACCUCUUGUUUUGUUUGUUUUAGUGAAAGGGGUUUACCUUUUGUUGUUAUGCAAAUAGGACCGAACGUGGUUUUUAUUUGUUCCCUUAUGCUAUCCCUUGAUAAUGAAACCGACCGCAUGUUGGAUCAAAUGGAAAGAAAACAAAGGUCGGACGCAAAUGGUAUAAGCUUCGAAAGAUUGGGUACGUAGUGGUGGAGUUGGGCUUAUCUACGGAGUGCACAAAGUUCAUAUUUUAGGAAUUUUCUAGGUAUUUACCAACUUUUACAUAGUUAUCUAUUUAGUUUAUACUUCCUUAACAAAUUAAUGGGCACACAUCCUCUCGUGAAAAAUUAACUGGCACAAAUUAUUUGGGUUUUUUUUGUCCGACCUUGUGUUUUUUUCGCUUUAGUCUUGGACUCUUGGUCUUGGUGCUCAUCCUCUCGCGGUGGCGACGAAAGAAGUUGGAAAGAUAUACUUAUAAUGUUGAUGGAGGCAUGUGUUGAUCGGAGUGUUACUUGUCUUACAUGUUUGGUUUUGGCUGGCAUGAAUGGGCCACAUUUGUAUGGGUGUUCUAUUUGCCGUCAAUGAUGGGUUACGAGUGAAUUAGAGGUUUACCUUUUGUUGUAUGCACAUAGGUCAGACAUGGUUUCUGUUUUUAUGUUAUGUUAUCCAUUAAUAAUGAAACCGACCCCACGUUGGAUCGAAUGGAAAGAAAACAAAGGUCGAACAAAAUGGUCUAUGCUUCAGAAGGUUGGAUAGGUAGUGGUGGAGUCGGGUUUAUGAACCGAAUGCACAAAGUUCAUAAAUUUGGGAAUUUCCUGGCUACUUACCAACUUUUACAUAGUUAUCUAUUUGGUUUGUACUUCCUUUACAAAAUUAAUGGGCACACAUCCUCUCGUGAGGAAAGAAGUUGACAAGUUCGUACUUACACAUUUAACAUCACUCAUGCUGACCGAAAGACUUGCGUGUUUUUCUGUUCAACAUGAAUGACGUGCAAUUUAAAUAUGGAUUUAUCUGCUUGUCGAUGAUUACUCACAUUAGUAAAUUAGAGUUUUCUUUUUGUCAUGAUGCAAACAUGGUUAAAUGCAAUAGUCCAGUUUUAGCAAGGUUGUGGUACAAGGCGUGAUGCACUUUAUGGUUGUUUUAGACCGAAGGUAUAUGCCUAGUUUAUCUUCUCUGAAUGGCCAGAACAAGAAGGUCUUACGCACAUGCUGUAACGUCGACCUAAAUUUACAAUUGUAAGUUUGCAACACUACAAAUGGAGCAUAAAGAAAGAAGCAUUGGUCCGACAAAAACAAUUUGGGACCCCUACUCACCGGGUGUAGGAAUCUGGUCAUCAUCAUUGAUUCCUCAAGUAGAGUUGUACCCUUCCUCCUUGUCGAUGGCAUCAAGUGUUGUACCCCCUCCCCCUCCGGCACUUUCGUCGGUUGACAUCGUAGGUGUCUGGUGUCAAUUGGAGUCAAUGUCCCAUAGUCAAUCCUGGAAUAAAAGACAACCCAAAAGGCCCCUAGCGAGUCAAUGUCCCAGAAUUGGUCCCGAAAACCGGGAUGUUCUGGACAGUCUCUCCAAAGGUUCCAUGAAGAAAUUCGAGGAAGCGUACAUGAUAUGCAACAUGCAAAUUUUAAGUUGUGCUACAUAAGGCCCACAUUAUUCUUCCCCAAGGGUUACCCUUUCCUAAUUUCGAGCUACGUUUCCUUCUCUAUCAUACUCCAUUUUCUCAAAGCUCAAUAUCUCCAUAACCUCCACAUCCCUCUGUCAAAUCAUUCCAUUCCUUUCAGGAAUAAGAGAGAGAGAGGAUCCCCCGAUCUAUAUCUCCACUAGAAGAAUGUGGGUUUCCCUUUGAGUUUAUAAGCAUUUGUUACUCUUGGAGGUUGGUGACUCCUAGGCUGUAGGAGUCCUCGGAGAGGAAUCAACUUGUGAUUUACCACGCCGUUUGUAUAGGUACCAUUUUCUCAGCAUCACCCUUGAGAGAAAACCUGAAAAGUAUUAAUAAAACAAAUUGACACAUCUUUGAACUUAAAAGUUCCACAACGAGUAUCAAAGAACCUAAACCGCCGCAUUUACCACGCCGUUUGUAUAGGUACCAUCUUGUAUAGUUUGAAAGUUUUGUUUAUAUCAAUCAUAACAAGUUUUAACAUAUUCAAAAUAAGCCCUUAAACCGCCGCGAAUUAGAAAAACUGCUCCACACGUAAGAGUUGCACCUUAUCGAUGGCUUUCUAAGGAUAUAUCUUUUUCUCAGUUUCAAUGAGUGUUUUAGGAGUUAUGGGUAAGAAAGUAGAGAAGUUGAAACUGAAAAAGGUCCUAGAUCAAUUACUACCCGGAGUGUGUUUCAUAUGAGAAAAAUUAGUGAAAAGGUAAAGUGUAAAAAAUGAUUGCUGGAAGUUCACGUUGUCAUCCCCGGGAAGCUUACAAAUUCUUGUAAAGGAGGUUCACCGUGUAUUUACAUGUGCAAAACUGACAAAAAUAUGUUUUAUUUGUGUGUGUUUUCAAAUAAUUCUCUCAAUUCAUUACACAUUUUCUACAUAAAACAAUCUCCUAUUCAAUAACUUUCGAAGGUUAUAUCAUAUGUUUAUUCCAAAAUAAAUGUUUAAAACAAAUUGGUGUAUGUUGUUCGAAACAAAAGAUUAGUUGUAUUCAAAAAAGUUGUGUCUUUUCAACAGGUUUCUAAAGGUAUCUUAUUUGUGCAACCCUGACAAACGGGUGAGGAAUUAUGAACGAAAAUACGUGACAAAAGUUCAAAGUGAAAACAGCGAGUCGUUCAACUGCUACACGGAAUGCAUUUCAGAUGAGAAUAACUGAAUACAAAACUAAAGGCCUAAAACGAUUGUUGCAAGAAGUUCACGUGCUACUCCAUGCACGGUUCAAAAUUUAUGGUGUGAGACGUCCGUCGUACAUUUACAUGUUAAAAAAGGGCAAAAGUGAUGUUGUUUUUGUCUUUCUGAAAACUUCUCACAGAAUACGACGAAUUUGUAACAACUAUGUAUAUGAAAAUGUUUCUCCUGUUCAUAAUCUUUCCAACGAUAUAUUACGUACUUCAUUCCAAUAAACGGUUUAAAAGUUCUGUGUAUACCGUUAAAAAAUUAUGUAUUAAAAAAAUUCUUGAAGUAUAGUGAAUGUGAAAAAAAUGAUAAAUAUGGGAAAGUUGUAUGUUUCAACAACUUUCCAACAGUAUAUCAUUUUGCUCAAUUUGAAUGCGUGCCUUGGGAGUCGUAUGCAAAAAAAAGCACACGGAAAACAGAAUGAAGUUCGAACAGAGAUGUCUCACAAGUACAACUUCUUCAUGCAGUGCGUUCCUAAGACUUUGUUUUCGCGAUAAAGGCUAAAUGCAUAAUCUCACCGUUUUCAAAAUUUCUUUAAUAUAAUGGGAUUAGAGAAAACUUUCUAUAUGAAAAAGUUUUAUAUUUACGAUAGAUUUCCAAAGUUACAUUAUUUUCUCCAUUACGAUAAAGUUUGCAAAGAUGACGACCAAAAAACGAUUCUGUCAUUUUCAACAUUGAAUAAAAAAAUGCAAACAAUUAGGACAAACAUUCUAUACACAAAAGUUUUGCACUUAUUCAAGCUUUCCAACGCAAUAUCAUUUGAUGCAUUACGACAGACCAUUGAAAAAUGAACUCGAAAAGAGGACUCGUUGGAACUUUGAAGUUUUUCUAAAUUACUUUUAAACUGUCAAAAAUUGGAAUAAACAUUUUACAUGAAAAGGAAGCACAUUUUCAUAAGCUUCGCAACACCGUAUCAUUUGCAUCGAUCGGAUGAGCCGUUUUAAAACAAACAAAAAAAAAUACAAAUUCAGUUGUUCGGUUUGAGAAAUUCUAUGAUUUUUAAAAUUGCUCUUUAACCAUUGGGAAUUGGGAAAACUUUAUAUACGUUUGAUGAGCGGAUUUGCAGCAGUUUUCUAACGUCAUAUCACUUGCCUCAUUCCGACAAACUUCCUUCAGUUUGAGAAAGACGUUUUGCAAAACUGCUUUUAAACCGUGUAAAUUUUGCAAGAAACUUAAACACAGGUUAUGAUCCUUGUUUCCACAGCUUUCGAAUGGUAUAUCGCAAUCCUCAGUUGGACAAUAUUUGUGGAAGUUGAACAUGUUAAGUGCAGUUUAAAUACUGCUACUGCAACGGGUCGACUAAUUUUUAGAAUAUUAUUCUUAUCCCCUAAUCAGAAUAGUGUUUAUAUAUAGGGGACUGAUCUGCGCCGCAGUAUCUACCAACCCCGCGUCGUCCGCACCGUCGGAUCUGCAUGCAACAUUUUUUCCCCUAUGCAGCAAAAUUUCGAUGCGAUGCAGCAAUUUUUUCAACGGUUGCAACAAAAAACAUAAUUUAUAGCAAAACAAAUAUCUACAUGAUCGUAGCAAAAAAACAAAGCUGAUGGUGCGUGGUAGCAAAAGUCAAACGCCGGUUGUAGCAAAUAUUUACGUGACGUGUAUGCAACUUUUUUAGUGAACGGUUGCAGCAAAACAUGAUGCCGGUUGUAGCAAAAAUUAACACGGUUAUAGCAAAAGUAAAAAACAUCGAUUAUAACAAAAAAUCUGACAAACUGAAGUUGCAACCAAACGUAUAUGCAGUUUUUUUACUGGGACAAAAAAUAGUAAAAAAACGCUUGUAGCAAAUAUAACGCUGGUUGCAAUAAAUUUAGACGAAAAAUAUUGCAUCCACUGACCAGCGAAGCACGUGGGUGAAAAAAAUGUUGCAUGGAUCCACGUGCGCGAAGGGGCGACGGCGCAUCGGUUCGGCCGGCGCGCCGUAUGAAAACGAUUCCCUUAUAUAUAACCCACAAAGAAAAUGAGGGAGUGGAAUUUUUUCACCCCAGUCCAAAAGGACCCCGCUGGUAGCAGCCUAAAACAGCUGCACGCAGGCCCAUUGCCACUCUAGGGUCCGCAAUGAUCUCCACCGCAGGAGGUAUAUCUCGCAUUAAGCGAGAUGGCACAGGCUCCCGCUGAAGCUUUUUCUUCUCCGUACGGUAUUGGGCCAGCACAUUUUAGAUGCGUUGAUACGCUUGCUUCGCUUGGUUCUAUCGCUGGCUACAUUGUAUUCGCCUUUUUUUCUUCUUUGACUUUAUUGUUUUGUUCGGUUUUGUAUGUUUCUUUCUCGGGUUCUAUAGGUUUUCUUCAUUUUGUUUGGAUUCUUUUCCUUUUUUUCUUCGUUUUCCAUCGAUAUUUUCGGUUUUCUUUGUUUAUUUUGAUAUUCAUUCUACAUUUUUUGUAUAUGCCAAGACAAUUUUUAUAAUACAUAUCUAAUAUUUUUCAAAUACAAUUUUAACAUUUUUGGAAUUUGCAGUCAACAAUUUUUCUUUUCACAGGUUUGAUCUUGCUUUCGCAAUCUUUCUCUGAUCCUAGUCGUAUAGUAGAUCCAGUUUUAUUCGGCUAAAAAGAAGUGUGUGUGUGUGUGGCCAUCGUAUCUGCCCGCCUCCUUCUUCAUUCAUCCAUUUAGGCAAGAAUGGAUCCACGCAACCUGGCUUGGGAACAACCCAGAAUAAACACAGUCAUUCUUAAAUAUUUUUCCAGAUGCUUGAUUAAUAUUUUUCAAGUACAAGAUAAAUAUUUUUUGAAUACAUGUUCAACAUUUCUUAUACACAUUUUAAAAUUUUAAAUGGUUGACUAAUAUGUUUCACUUACGGGAUUAACAUUUUUUCAAUACAUGUUCAUCAUUUUUUCUAUAAAUAUUUAAAAAAAUUCAAAUACUUGGUUAAAAAAUUUCAAAUUCAUAUUCAACAUUCUUUUCAAAUGCUUGAUUAAUUUUUUUCAAAUUCAUCUUCAACAUUCUUUUCAAAUGCUUGAUUUACAUUUUCAUAUACAUGAUCAACAUAUCUAUCAUUUUUAAUGCAUUGUCAACAUUUUUAUAUACACAUUUAACAUUUUUAAAUGAUUGAUUUACAUUUUUGAAUAGUUUUUCAAUUUUUUUAAAUGUUUCAUUAAUUGUUUUUUUAUAUAUGAUAAAAAAUAUCAUCAUUUUUAGUACAUGAUCAACAUUUUUGUAUACAUAUUUAAACUUUUGAUUAACAAUAUUCAAACACUUAUUCAACAUUUUUACGAAAUGUGAUAUUAGUUUUGUUUAAAUAUAUGGUCAGAUUGUUUCAUACACUUUUUAUAUACAUGUGUUCAUAUAUGUGAUAAACAUUUUCUCUAUUUUUUGUGCUGGUAAAAGAGUUUUAUUCUAUUUGCAUAGGGUUACAAUUAAGAGGCAAGAGAUCCUCGACACAAAGUGGACCUCGGCCAAGCCAUACAGCAAUAAUGCUCUUUGUACGACUAGACAUGGCAAAUCGAUCUCCUACCCUAUUAUGUACAUAACUAAUUUUCAAGGGAAUAAAAACUCUAUCUACCAUAAGAUGACGAAUCUCAGCAACUAGAUGUCAAUUGGCAGAUCUGGUUAAGCUGUCACGAGACAUAGCAGAAAGUGCCACACAAGAACCCGACUGGACUAUGAUAAGUAGCUCAUAGUGUCGGAUAGUCAGAGCCAUACCAUGCAUAAGCGCAUGUAACUCCACCUCGAGAGCAUCGUUGCAAUUAAAAAUGCAAUGGUAAGCCGCAAAUAUAACGCUCCCAUCAUGCCUCCUCAGAAUCAUUCCUACCGGUGUUGAACCAUAUGACUAUAAGUAAGAGCCAUCGACAAACAGGGCCACCUGCUCUGGUGGUGGCGUCGGCCAUGGAAGGACCUGGACCUCCUUUUGCACAAUAGUCGGUUCCUCCUGCGCCAUAUGCAUCUUGCCUUUGAUAAUCUCUUCUAUUGAAUACUUCCUAGAGAGAUAUAGGGACUACAAAUAACUAUGCAAAUAUAGGACUGUUGCAACCACCAUAGGCACUUCUUUCCCAUGCACUAAGUUAGACUGGAGGGACCAAAUACGCCAAAUCAGCAUGAUCACACACUCCCGCAUCAACUCAUGGCAGUUUGCCAACACAUUCAAUAACCAGUCUUGUCAUGUGUCUUGCAGCAGCUCCUGCUGAGGUAGUCGCCACACCGACCUCAUCUGCAGCCACACCUCACGUGCAUGAUCACAUGCAACUAAGGCAUGGAGGCUGGUCUCCUUCUCCUUUGCACAUAAUGUUGGGGAACGUCGCAUGGGAAACAAAAUUUUUCCUACGCGCACGAAGACCUAUCAUGGUGAUGUCCAUCUACGAGAGGGGAUGAGUGAUCUACGUACCCUUGUAGACCGUACAGCAGAAGCGUUAGUGAACGCGGUUGAUGUAGUGGAACGUCCUCACGUCCCUCGAUCCGCCCCGCGAACAAUCCCGCGAUCAGUCCCACGAUCUAGUACCGAACGGACGGCACCUCUGCGUUCAGCACACGUACAGCUCGACGAUGAUCUCGGCCUUCUUGAUCCAGCAAGAGAGACGGAGAGGUAGAAGAGUUCUCCGGCAGCAUGAGGGCGCUCCGGAGGUUGGUGAUGACCUUGUCUAAGCAGGGCUCUGCCCGAGCUCCGCAGAAACGCGAUCUAGAGGAAAAACCGUGGAGGUAUGUGGUCGGGCUGCCGUGGAAAAGUCGUCUCAAAUCAGCCCUAAAACCUCCGUAUAUAUAGGUGGGAGGGAGGGGACCUUGCCUUGGGGCUCAAGGAUCCCCAAGGGGGUCGGCCGAGUCCAAGGGGGAAGGUUCCCCCCCCCCCAAACCGAGUUGGACUUGGUUUGGUGGGAGGGAGUCCUUCCUUCCCUUCCCACCUCCUCCUUUUUUUUCUUUUCUCUUUGAUUUUCUUCUCUAGGCAUAUAGGGCCCUCUUGGGCUGUCCCACCAGCCCACUAAGGGCUGGUGUGCCACCCUCAAGGCCUAUGGGCUUCCCCAGGGUGGGUUGCCCCCCCCGGUGAACUCCCGGAACCCAUUCGUCAUUCCCGGUACAUUCCCGGCAACUCCGAAAACCUUCCGGUAAUCAAAUGAGGUCAUCCUAUAUAUCAAUCUUCAUUUCCGGACCAUUCCGGAAACCCUCGUGACGUCCGUGAUCUCAUCCGGGACUCCGAACAACAUUCGAUAACCAACCAUAUAACUCAAAGACGCAUAAAACAACGUCGAACCUUAAGUGUGCAGACCCUGCGGGUUCGAGAACUAUGUAGACAUGACCCGAGAGACUCCUCGGUCAAUAUCCAAUAGCGGGACCUGGAUGCCCAUAUUGGAUCCUACAUAUUCUACGAAGAUCUUAUCGUUUGAACCUCAGUGCCAAGGAUUCAUAUAAUCCCGUAUGUCAUUCCCUUUGUCCUUCGGUAUGUUACUUGCCCGAGAUUCGAUCGUCAGUAUCCGCAUACCUAUUUCAAUCUCGUUUACCGGCAAGUCUCUUUACUCGUUCCGUAAUACAAGAUCCCGCAACUUACACUAAGUUACAUUGCUUGCAAGGCUUGUGUGUGAUGUUGUAUUACCGAGUGGGCCCCGAGAUACCUCUCCGUCACACGGAGUGACAAAUCCCAGUCUUGAUCCAUACUAACUCAACUAACACCUUCGGAGAUGCCUAUAGAGCAUCUUUAUAGUCACCCAGUUACGUUGCGACGUUUGAUACACACAAAGCAUUCCUCCGGUGUCAGUGAGUUAUAUGAUCUCAUGGUCAUAGGAAUAAAUACUUGACACGCAGAAAACAGUAGCAACAAAAUGACACGAUCAACAUGCUACGUCUAUUAGUUUGGGUCUAGUCCAUCACGUGAUUCUCCUAAUGACGUGAUCGAGUUAUCAAGCAACAACACUUUGUUCAUAAUCAGAAGACACUGACUAUCUUUGAUCAACUGGCUAGCCAACUAGAGGCUUGCUAGGGACGGUGUUUUGUCUAUGUAUCCACACAUGUAAAUGAGUCUUCAUUCAAUACAAUUAUAGCAUGGAUAAUAAACGAUUAUCUUGAUACAGGAAUUAUAAUAAUAACUAUAUUUAUUAUUGCCUCUAGGGCAUAAUUCCAACAGUCUUCCACUUGCACUAGAGUCAAUAAUCUAGCCCUCACAUCAUCAUGCGAAUUACAUUGUAAUAAAUCUAACACCCAUACAGUUCUGGUGUUGAUCAUGCUUUGGCCGUGGAAGAGGUUUAGUCAGCGGGUCUGCUACAUUCAGAUCCGUGUGCACUUUGCAUAUAUUUACGUCCUCUCCCUCGACAUAGUCGGGGAUGAGGUUGAAGCGUCGUUUGAUGUGUCUGGUCUUCUUGUGAAACCGUGGUUCCUUUGCUAAGGCAAUGGCACCCGUGUUGUCACAGAACAAGGUUAUUGGAUUCAGUGCGCUCGGCACCACUCCAAGAUCCGUCAUGAACUGCUUCAUCCAGACACCUUCCUUAGCCGCUUCCGAGGCAGCCAUGUAUUCCUCUUCACAUGUAGAAUCUGCUAAGACGCUUUGCUUGGAACUGCACCAGCUUACCGCACCCCCAUUAAGAAUAAAUACGUAUCCGGUUUGCGACUUAGAGUCGUUCGGAUCUGUGUCAAAGCUUGCAUCGACGUAACCUUUUACGGCGAGCUCUUCGUCACCUCCAUACACGAGAAACAUCUCCUUAGUCCUUUUCAGGUACUUCAGGAUAUUCUUGACCGCUGUCCAGUGAUCCACUCCUGGAUUACUCUGGAACCUACCCGCCAUACUUAUGGCCAGGCUUACAUCCGGUCUAGUGCACAGCAUUGCAUACAUGAUAGAACCUAUGGCUGAAGCAUAGGGGACGGAGCGCAUAUGCUCUCUAUCUUCAUCAGUUGCUGGGCACUGAGUCUUACUCAAUUUCGUACCUUGUAAAACUGGCAAGAACCCUUUCUUGGACUGUUCCAUUUUUCACCUCUUCAAAACUUUAUCAAGGUAUGUGCUUUGUGAAAGUCCUAUCAGGCGUUUUGAUCUAUCCCUAUAGAUCUUAAUGCCUAGAAUGUAAGCAGCUUCUCCCAGGUCCUUCAUAGAGAAACUUUUAUUCAAGUAAUCCUUUAUGUUCUCCAAAAACUCCACGUUGUUUCCAAUCAACAAUAUGUCAUCCACAUAAAUGCCACAGAGCUCCCACUCACUUUCUUGUAAAUACAAGAUUCUCCAACCAUUUGUACAAACCCAAAUGCUUUGAUCACCUCAUCAAAACGUUUGUUCCAACUCCGAGAUGCUUGCACCAGUCCAUAAAUGGAUCGCUGGAGCUUGCACACCUUGUUAGCAUUCUUAGGAUCGACAAAACCUUCGGGUUGUAUCAUAUACAACUCUUCCUUAAGGAAACCGUUAAGGAACGCCGUUUUGACAUCCAUCUGCCAGAUUUCAUAACCGAAAAAUGCUGCUAUUGCUAACAUGAUUCUGACGGACUUAAGCAUCGCUACGGGUGAGAAUGUCUCAUCGUAGUCAACUCCUUGAACUUGUGAAAAACCCUUUGCCACAAGUCGCGCUUUAUAAACGGUCACAUUGCCGUCAGCGUCUGUCUUCCUCUUAAAGGUCCAUUUGUUCUGAAUAGCCUUGCGGCCCUCAGGUAGUACUUCCAAAGUCCACACUUUGUUCUCAUACAUGGAUCCUAUCUCGGACUUCAUGGCUUCUAGCCAUUUGUUGGAAUCUGGGCCCACCAUUGCUUCUUCAUAAUUUGCAGGUUCAUUGUU